This 53494-nucleotide long non-coding RNA is filed under the name Panax ginseng (ginseng). RNAcentral's name for it is "long non-coding RNA (PGIN_LNC010942)". The stretch from base 1174 to 1252 matches the Rfam family "Small nucleolar RNA snoR14". Lineage: Eukaryota; Viridiplantae; Streptophyta; Magnoliopsida; Apiales; Araliaceae. The record is from RNAcentral.
AGGAUUGAAUAUAUUAUUAUGUAUUCUUAUCUUGGGCACCACAUAUUCUUGGCCUCCAAGAAUAUUAGUCCUUUAAAAGGAAUCGGCUCUCUCUUUCAAUACAAGAUACAUUUCAUUUAUCUAUUAUCUCUUUCCUUUCCUUGUUAACAGCUUUUCUCGGCCUCCAUUCUCAACUUUCACAAAUCUCAAAAUUUAAUAUCCAGAAAAUGAAUUAUUUUUUUUUAUUUUAUUUUUUGGUUAGGUUAAAAUAUAUAUAUAUAUAUAUAUAUAUAUAUGGAGGGAAUUGGUAUGCAGUGAGGAAAGCAAAACAGUGCUCCAAAGAUGGUAGUACAUAACAAUCCUCUAAGAAGUGGGAACAGUCUCUACUUCUUUAGGCCCAAGUAGCUGAGUUUUUUAGUUAUGUUCUGCUAUAUAUAUAUAUAUAUAUAUAUAUAUAUAUAGGUCUCCAUCCACAGCAACCGGUUGUUGGGAGCAACCCCUUUUGGCNNNNNNNNNNNNNNNNNNNNNNNNNNNNNNNNNNNNNNNNNNNNNNNNNNNNNNNNNNNNNNNNNNNNNNNNNNNNNNNNNNNNNNNNNNNNNNNNNNNNNNNNNNNNNNNNNNNNNNNNNNNNNNNNNNNNNNNNNNNNNNNNNNNNNNNNNNNNNNNNNNNNNNNNNNNNNNNNNNNNNNNNNNNNNNNNNNNNNNNNNNNNNNNNNNNNNNNNNNNNNNNNNNNNNNNNNNNNNNNNNNNNAGUUCCAUAAAAUAUUAAAAAAAAUUUAGUUGUUUUAAAUUUUUUUAUAAGCCGGUAGAGCUUGUAGCGGCUGGCCAAAAUGGGUUGCUCCCCAACAACCGGUUGCUGUGGAUGGAGACCCUAUAUAUAUAUAUAUGUGUGUGUGUGUGUGUGUGUGGUAGCUGGUAGUACAUAACAAUCCUCCAAAUGCAGUACAAGAUUUGUAUUCCCUUCAUUAUUGAAAUCAAAAUCCCUUCCCUUGUUGCUUUGUUUUUCUUCAGUAGCAGAGAAAAACUCCCUGCCUUAUUGUUCAUUUUUUUAAUCUCUAAUUUAGCCUAUAAAUAUUUGUCUGUGUUGCUUUGUAAUCUGCAGAUCUUACCCCCAACACAUUUUAUAUGCAAUUUUUUUAUUUUUUUGAUGUGAUUAUGAAUUUAUUUUUUUAAAAUAAAAUCUGGUUGAAUCAAGCGAGGUGAUGAUAAAAUUCAUUAUUCUGUCGAUCAAAUGAUCAUAUUUUGAUGAGAAUUCGUUCGCCGUUCUGAUCGCUUCAAACAUUUCUACUUAAUUUUAUUAUUAUUUUUUUUGAUUUAUUAUAUAUAUAUUACGUUUUUUUUUUGUUUCAAUUUUAAAUUUUGUUUAUAUUAGAAAGGGGAGCAGGUGAUGAAUCCUUAUUAACAAUGAUAAUUGAAUAUUUCAAUUAGCAAUGAUAAUAAUGUGGGACAUACCAGGUGUAUAAUAUUUCAAUUAUUUUAGUUGUCAAUUGUUGUUAUUAUCUAAAAGACGUGGGUACAAUAUGUUGUGAUGAGUGACUAAUAUACCCAUGAAUUAAUUAUUUUUUAAUUUAAUAUAUUGUUAGUUUUUAAAUUAUUUAGGAUAUUUCGCUUGUUUUUGUUUUAUUUUGCAGAAGGCAGUAUGUGCAGAACGGUAAUUUCUGGCAAAAAGGAGGGGCAUAAUUGUAUUUUUGAAAAAGACACCAGCGCCGGGGCACUACUUCAAGAGUAAAACCAAGCGUUGGGGUCAAGGCCGUCGGGGCUUUGGGGUCAAGGCUCGAUGGUCAAUUGAGAUUUUGGACCCGAAUUUCCUUUCUUUUUAGAACUCACAAACACAACAAAUUUUUCACAUGAUUUUUGAUUUGGGAUUUUGACUAUAGAAUGCUUAGAUGUAAAUUAAAAUAAAUAAAUAAAACUAUUGGUUUAACGAUCUUAAAAAUUGAAAAAAAAAAAGAAGUAAACUUUUAAACACCGGUAGUGAAAUAAGACGCAGAUGUCUUAAUUUGGGAAACUUUAUGAUUUUGUAAUUUGGCCUUCAUUCCUUGCAAUCUUGACAUAAAUUAAUUUCACGGUACCCACUAAAUCCGUGCCUUGCACAUGUUAAUGGCUAGUUAUAUUAAAUAAUAAACGAACGUCCACAAGUUCAACAUCGAAUUUUCAUUUUGUCCUUUUACGUGAGCAGACAUAGAGCAUAAUAAAAAAUUAAAAUACUCAAUAUUGUUGACAAGUAUUUAUUUGCUAUCAUUUUCAACCGAAGCAAUUAUCUCAUCAUCAUCUCAAAAGAUAUUAUUUUGAGCACUUCAAGGAGCUCAAGAUGGCUGACAACCAAAGGUAGGAACACAUUUCUCAACUUGUUGUAUCCAAAAAUGCUUUGAGUCGUGAGGUUGGGAUAAAACCGCACCGACAAGACCACACCGAACUGAUAGCGAUUUAAGAUUUUUCUAUACUAAAAUCACAUUGAUUUGCAUCGGUCAAAAAUUAAUAAUAUUUUGACUUGAUUUUAAUUAAAUUAGUUUAAUAUUUUUACAACUCACAUUAUAAUAGUAUUCAUUUAAAUAACUCAAGAAAUAUAAACAAAGUACCAUAUGAAUAUAUGUUCAAUAAAAAUAAGAUAACAUUGUUAUAAUUUUUAACACUAUUAUAGUUUUAAUGUAUAUCAACUAUAGGGAACCCUUCUCUAGCGAGCUGGUUCGUCAGCGAAUCGGCUAUAGCGACGGUUGAUGUGUUAAAAUUAUGUACUGCAAGUGCACAGUGUCGAAUUGAAAAACUGGCAAGUACAGGUCAAACCCACAUAGACUAGAUUAAUUUUAAUAUUUUCUUAAUAUCUAUUUUAGGCGAAUUAGAAAUAAAGAUUGAGGAUUAAUUUACUAAAAUAUGAAAACUAAUAAUGAGAAAACAAUCUAGGAAUCCAAAUCCACUAAAUAAUAAACAUAACAUAUAAUUCAAUCUCUUCUAUUUUUAUAACUCAACUAUGAUUUUGAUCUCUCUUCCCUUUAAUUUAAUAAUUUACAAUUAACGUGAGCAAGCAUAGACUAUGAAAAUAUAAGGAUUAAUUAUAACCCAUCAAAACUUCUUCGAGCAAGCAUAGAUUAUAAAAAAUUCAUAUAUUAACACUAAUCUAUCAAAAUCUCUUAAUUAAUUUAAAAUCACAUAAGAACUAUAAAAUGAAGGUAUUUCAAUAACAAAACAUGAAGGCAAAAUCAAUUAAAGAUAAAAGCAUAAAUAAUAGAAGAGAUGAAAAAUAUUAUCAUGAAUAAUUAUUUAAUUUCAUCUUCAUCCUAGAUGAAAGAAAUUAGCUAGACAUGAAAAAUAAUUAAACAAACUAAAAUAAAGAAAAGAAGAUGAUUAAAAAUAAAUAAGAAAACUCAAUUUAAUUAACGAUCAUCCAACAAACGUACAAUGAAGAAGUAAUUUAAUCUACUCCACCUCUUAACCAGAGCCGGCCCUGGGCAAGGGCCAACAAGGCAACCACCCAGGGCCCACAGUUGAGGGGGGCCCCAAAUUCUUUUAUUAGCUUAUGUAUUUAUGUGUAUAAAAAAAAUAAAAUAAUAAAAAGAUUAGCGAUAUUAAGCAUUAAAAAUGAUAUGUUAGAAACCAUUAAAUAUGAUAAUAUAAUUGAUGAUUUUGCAUCUAAAAGUGCAACAAAAAGACAUUUUAAAUGAUGUUUUGUGGUUUAGAUUUCAUUGGGCAAAACUAAAGAAAUACCCACUGUAGUUGGUAAGUUUUAAUGAUUACACCAUUAAACUUUUAAUUUUUCAAAUUACACUACUAAACUAAUUAUUAUUUUGAAAUUGGGUCACUACGUUAAAAAAAAAUAAACGGACGUUAAUUUUUUAUCUAUAAAAUUAAUGAAUUACUAAUUGUAGUUGGCACAUUUUACUGAUUACACCAUUGAACUUUUAAUUUUUCAAAUUACCCCAUAACUAAUUAAAAAUAAUUAUUUUAAAUAUUUUUAAAAAUAAUUAUUAUUUUAAGUAAAAAAUAUUAGAAACUUUUUUUCCUUCAUAAAAUCAGUAGUUUCAUAAAAUAUAGAUUCAAAAAAAUUAAAUUGAUUUUAAAUUAAAUUAAUGUCUACUUAAUUUUUUAACAUAAUGACCCAUUCUUAAUAUUAGAAUUUUUUUUUAAAAAACUAAAAACUAGAAAUUUAAAUAAAAAAAAACAGUAAAAGAUAAAUAAAAAAAAUGAUUCAAUUUUUUUAAAAAAGAAAUUAAUAAUUUGUAUAAAUAAAUAUUAUUUUCAAGAAAUUUUUUUUGGAAAAUUUCUUCAUAUUUUAAAAAAAUGAGUAAAAUUUUAUAAAAUAUAGAUUCAAAAAAAUAAACUUUAUUUUCAAAAGGAAAAAAAAAGUUUUUUUUUUAAAAUCAGUAAGUUUUCAUAAAACUUUAAUUUUUUAAAUCUAUAUUUUAUGAAACUUUACUCAUUUUAUGGAAAAAAAAUUAAAGUUUCUAAUAUUUUUUACUGAAAAUAAUAAUUAUUUUUAAAAAUAAAAUAAUCAUUUUAAAUUAGUUUAAUGGGGUAAUCUAAAAAAUUAAAAGUUCAAUAGUGUAAUCAGUAAAACGUGACAACUACAGUGGGUAAUUCAUUAGUUUUGUAAAUAAAAAAUUAGCAUCCGUUUAUUUUUUUAACGGAAUAACCCAAUUUUAAAAUAAUAAUUAGUUUAGUGGGGUAAUUUAAAAAAUUAGAAGUUCAAUUGUGUAAUCAGUAUAACUUGCCAACUACAAUGGGUAUUUCAUUAGUUUUACCGAUUUCAUUGAUAUUUUUAUUUUGUAGGUAUAUGUGAUGAUUCUUUGCUUCGAUGACAUUUUAAAGUGUUCUUCCUUAUCUUUUGUAAAUUCUUAUAAUUUUAAUAAAAAUAAUUAGUUGAUAAUUUAUUUAUUUUUUAUUUAAUUUGUAUAAAGGGGCACACUUGAGAUUAUUUGCCCUGGGCCUUAGAAAACCCAUGACCGACUCUGUUCUUAACCUAAACUAAUACAAUACCUAAUGCUUCAUCCUCUCUAAAUCAAGAGACCUAUUUAUAGGAAAAAUAACUUUGAACCCUAAUUUUGAUUCAUUGAACUUGGACACUUUUGUUUUCUGUCCAUAUAGGUUUCAACUUCCUAGUGGCAAUCAAUUUCUCAAAAAGAUAUUCUAGAUAGACUUUCAUUUCUUUUGUUGGAUUUGACUUGCACACCAAGAUUGUCCCACCUCUUUCCUUCUCCUUGUAGGAUUCAUCUUGGAUAUUCCUUACAUGAAUAAGAGCAUUAAAUAUCGUUUGAUCACCAAGAUUUUGACUUUAUUACAACAAAUAUUAAAUCCUACAAAAUAAAAUAAAAUAUAUUAAUUUAAUAAACUGAUAUAAUUAAAAGAAAAAAAUUAGGGAUAAUAAAAUGUAUGAAUUACGUGUCUAUCAACGGUUCAAUCCGUCACUAUAGUAUAAAAAGUCGACGCCACGGCUAUGGCGACAGUUCGUACCGUCACUACUAUAGCUCAGAAAAUCAGUUUUUCUAUGAUUUAGCGACGGAUGAACCGUCGCUAUAGCCAAUUUGUCUUUGGUUCGUCUUUUCCGGUUCAUUGGAGAAAUUUUCCUUCAACUAUAUAUAAAAAUAUUUAUAAAUUAACUGUUGUUAUACAAAAGUAAAAAAUAAUAAAAAUAUACGUUUGUGUAACUCAGUAACUCUAUGACUAUAUAUAAUUCUAUAGAAAAAUAAUAAUAUUAGGAAUUAUAUAGAUAUAAUUAAAAAAACAUAUACAUAUAUAUAUAGCGAUUCAAUAGAAGAAAUGCAGUGCACCAGCGGUUCAGAGGCAAAUACUAAAAUCAUACCGCACUGGUCUCGGUUCAAAUUUUUUUGCAGUAAAACCGCACCGACGAGACCAAUGAUCCAAAUAAAAACCGGCCAGUUUGAUGCGGUUCACCCAUUUUUGGAUCGGUUUAUGUUAAAUUGUCAUCAUUACUCUUUGGUUAUGUAAAAAUUACUCCUAGCUUGAGUUGCUCGAAAUGCUUUCAUUUGCUUUUAGUAUUCUUUCAAGUCUAAAUUUGACUUUUUAUAAAAUAAAAAAGUUAUAUAUAUAUAUAUAUAUAUAUAAUAAUAAUUGAUAAAAAUGUAUUUAUUAUGAAUUCUUAUAAAGCAUACAUUAUUUAUACCAUUGAAAACAAAAAAUAGUCAAAAUUAAAAAGUUAAAAAUCGACGUCCGCUACUAUUAAUUAGUUGCGAACGGUAAAAAAAAGUUUAUUAACCAAAAAUAAAUCCUAAACCUUGGUUAAUAAACUUUAAACCUUAGUUAAUAAAUCAUAAAACUUGAUUAAUAAAGCAUAAACUCUAGUUAAUAAACCCUAAAUAUUUAUUGGUAAAACACAGCUCUUAUUUUGAUUAGUAACGAACGUUAAGUGUUUUUUUUACCGUCCGCUACUAUCCGCUACUAAUAGUAGCGGACGUCGAUUUUCGAUUUUUAAUCUUGGUCGUUCAUUUUUGUUUUCAAUGAUAUAGAUGGUAUAUGCCCUAUAAGAAUUCAUAGCAAAUACAUGUUAUUGAUCAUUUUUCUAUAUAUAUAUGUAGCGGCUGGGUAUAAAUUUGUUUCAAUCUCAGCCUUCCAUUUAGUUGAUCUACGGUUUCGAUGUUGGUUGAAUCCCUAUAUAUAUAUAUAGUCCGGAUCUUAAGCUCACCUCUUAUCCAACUCACCCGNNNNNNNNNNNNNNNNNNNNNNNNNNNNNNNNNNNNNNNNNNNNNNNNNNNNNNNNNNNNNNNNNNNNNNNNNNNNNNNNNNNNNNNNNNNNNNNNNNNNAUAUAUAUAUAUAUAUAUAUAUAUAUAUAUAUAUAUAUAUAUAUAUAUAUAUAUGUUCUAAAAAUUGCUAGACGAAUAAGUAGUAGUGGACCUAAUGGUAGAGAAAAUAGUUUUGUGCAAGAAUGAACUAUUUUGCCCUUAUAAAACUCACAUGACAUGCGCAUGUCUUACUAAUUUUGACCAAAGUUGGUUAGAAAGGACGGUUUUGCAAAUAAUUGAGACAUUAGUUAAGACAAUGCAAAAAUUUGAACAUUGACGCUAAUGUUGUAAUUCAAUGAAUACAUGAGGGGAAAGUUUUGCAAUCUGUUUCUAUUCCGGAUCUUGUGCGUUAAAUACUAUUUUUAUUCAGACUUAUUUCUAUUCCGGACUUAUUUCUAUUCCGGACCUUGUUCGUUAAAUACUAUCUCGUUCUUAACUUAUUAAACUUUCAUUGUCAAUACCUUGAUAAACUUCGAUUAUUUUAAAAUUUCUCAAUCUUUUUCUCUCAAUAUCCAUAAUUGCAACCUUUACAUUUCAUCUCAGUUCCAAAAAUCCUUUAUAAUAUGAUUCAUCCCAAUUCUUACCUUUUUAGUAUACAAAAAAAAAAUUAACGUUCAAAACUUAAUUAUUCAUCGAUUCACUCUCCAUUAUGAUUUAGUGACCCAAUGAAUUUUAUCACAACUUGAAUUACCAAAAGGGUCCUUUACACUAAUAUACAACAAUUAGAAAGUAUUUACAAAAAUAAAACAUACACAACAUAAUUACAAAAAUAAAAUAUACACAAUAUUACGUUGCUAAAAUUAGGGAUCAUUAUCUCCCUACAAUUAGGGAUCAUUAUCAUUAUCUCCCUACACAUCAGUUAUCAACUUUCAUAAUUCCAAUUAACCGCACCUAAAUUCAAGCAACUGAACAAAACAUGCAACUUUGAUAUCAGAAAAACAGAUCAACGACGUAUCUACUAGAGAAGACGAAAUCUCUUGUCGCAACGAAACUCUGAGAUCGGAGAAGAACUUAAAAGAUCGACAGCAACUUCAAGAUCUAUAACUAUAAACUUACUGCACUGAUUGUUGAUCAUACUGCACUGAUUGUUGAUUCGUUACAAAUCACCAUGACUGAGGUAUCUGAGUUUCCAAUUUAUAUGCAUAGUGUUACCUCGUGUUUACAACGUAUUCAUCUAUUGGUUACCUUUCUCAAAUUUUUUCGCUCUUUAAGUGGUCACAAAGUCAGAAUAAUUAAUGUUUUGAAUGCAAACUGCAUUUGAAAAUAUGUUUUAUAUUCUGGUUACUAAGUACAUAUAAAUUGGUUACUGUAUAAUGUUUAUUUGCUUGCUUUAUAAUUUUAAAGUUUAUUCUACUGAUGUUUUUUAUAUUAAUGAUUACUUAGUAAAUACAUUGGUUACCUUCUUGCACUGUUGGUUACUGUCUAAUCUGGAUUUGGUUAGUAUAUAAUGUUGACUUGGUUACUGUGUAAAAUUGCAAUGGUUACUGCAUAAUAUUACCCCAGUUCAUGUUCUGGUUACUAACAUUAUGUAGUUUAGUUACCGUCUAACAUUGAGUUGAUUACUUUACAAACCAUAAGCUAAUAGUAACCAAAAACAUACUAAAAGGUUGCUUCAUCUGAUAUACCGGUCGGUGGAAUAUCGCUUAUAAUCUGAAAUUUGAUUGACAAUGUUAUUGUGUAUUAUACAGUUGAAUGAUUGACAAUGUAAAAUGCAUUUGAAAAUAUGUUUUAUAUUCUGGUUACUAAAUAUAUAUAAAUUGGUUACUGUUUUUUAUUGAUUUGGUUGAUGUAUAAUGUUUAUUUGUUUGUUUUAUAAUUUUAAAGUUUAUUCUACUGGUAUUUUUUAUAUUAAUGAUUACUUAUUAAAUACAUUGGUUACCUAGCUUUCUGCAACUGUUGGUUACUGUCUAAUCUGGAUUUGGUUAGUAUAUAAUGCUGACUUGGUUACUUUAUAAAAUUACAAUGGUUACUGCAUAAUAUUACCCCAGUUCAUGUUCUGGUUACUAACAUUAUGUAGUUUGGUUACUGUCUAACAUUAAUUUGGUUACUUUACAGACCAUAAGCUAACAGUAACCAAAAACAUACUAAAAGGUUGGUUACUGUCUAAUAUUUAUUUAGAUACUGUAAGGUGUUUAUUUGGUUACUGUAUAAUAUUAUUGUGUUUUAUAAUUGUUUCUUUUAAUCUGAUUAUAUAUAUUGGUUACUGUAUACUAUUUAAUUGGUUAUUGUAUAAUGUUUAUUUGGUUGCUGAAUAAUAUUAAUGUACACGUGUACUGAUUUUUUUUGCAGUUAUGGAAAUAUUUGAUCCAGUGGCAAUUUGGUAAUUUCAUUCAAGUUUGGAGUAUCGGAUUUUGGCAUUUUCGGAGCCUAAUUUCAUUGGAAACGGGCCAACGAUCAAAAGUCACGAGCUUUGCUCGUGAACUGCAUGGUUUUUUUGGUCAAACUCCAUCAUUUAGGCCUUCAAAAUUGCAUGUAAAAAAUUGGUUCAUGUUCUGGUUACUAAGAUUAUGUACUUUGGUUACUAUCUAAUAUUGAUUUGGUUACUUUACAAUGUUUAUUCAGUUGUCAGACAAUGGAGAUGAUUCCGGUUGUGCUUUAUUUCAAUGGAACAUAAAUAAAAAGUGUGUAAAUAUAUAAUUGUUUACUGCUAGUAACCAUUAACCACAUGGUUGGUAACAUUUUUGAUGGUGUACAGUAACCAAAUUUGUUAUUGAUUAAUAUUUUUGAUUUUUGAUUCCAUCAUGAGUUGUCAAUAUAAAAUAAACAUAUACAUUAAACAAUUGGUAACUGUUCUGAAAUAUUUUUAUGUAAAUUUGGUUACCCAUCUAAAAUAAAAUGGUUACCUCUAUAUUCAUAUUUAGUUACCAACUGAACCACCAACUGGACCAUUUCCAAAUAACCACUACACCAAAAAUGGCCUCUAGUGAAGGACAAAUCCUUCACUAGAGGCCUUAUAUCACUCACAAGUGAUUUAUUGCAAAGAAAUAUUUCUUUUACACGAGUGCUCGUAUUAGACCUCCUCGCAAUUGGGUAUCCUUCGCUAAGUAGUAACUAAAUGUUUUUUGUGAAGGAUAUAUUGUGAAUAACUUUUUUAUUCACAAAUUGUAUUUAGUAAUGGAAUAUUGUUAUUUAGUGAAAGAUUGGUUUCCUUUAUAAAAAAUAUUUUAAGAAGGACUAUUUGAAAUUAGUGAAUAACUUUAUUCCCUCACAAAUAAUAUAUUGUGAAGAACAAAUUUAUUUAACGAGAGAAAAUUUUCCUUCACUAAUUAUAAAUUGAGAAUGUAUCUUCAAAUUAGUGAGGGAAAUAAUCCUUCAUUGAUGACUAAAUAGUUAACUAGAAAAGAUUUAGUGAGGAAAAUAAUCCUUCAUUAAAAUCCAUUUCUUAAGUAAAAUUCUUCACAAAUUAUAAAUUUGUAAAAAAAAAUAAUCGAUAAAUAAUCAAAAUUCAUUGCAAAUUAUACUUAAUUUUCAAAUCACUAAUUUCACAUUUAUUAUUAUUAAUUGCUAUAAUAAAUAUUAAAUUUAAUAUUUCAAGUUAAUAUAAAUGUCAUACCUGUUUCAAACUAAUUGAUAAACUAAUGCAUAAAGAGCCAAUAAUUAAAACUAACAUUCCAUAUAUAAAUAGAUAAUGCUCAAUUCACGAUAAGUACAUAAUUUGUUAUUAUAUCUUGAUCUCACAAAGAUCAUAGUAUUUACAAUAUUUAAUAAUUAACACAAGAAAACUGAAAGAAUAACAACUAACUAAAUGGAAUGAAGUGUACAUCAUGUUAGGUCCACUUCAUCAUUAUUUUCUUCAAGGAAAUCAAGGUUGGACCUGUAAAUUUCUUGCUGUAAAAGAAACACCAAAAUUCAAUUUCAAUAAGAUGAGGAAUAAGAAAAAAUAAGCCUGGUGAACUUAAAUCAACAUUAGAUUUGUAAGUUGUAAAUCCACCACUAUGCCAAUAUACAAGUUUAAUAUCAACUUAAUUAACUGGAUGCAUUAAAGCAAUGAGAUAGAAGAAUCAACGAAAAGAAAUCACACAAUCAGUAACUCUAAUCUAUUUGCAUUCCAAAUUAACAAAAGAAAAAAGAGGACAAGGAAGUCGAUAUUAUCCACAGUACAAGGGGUAAAAAACAGAGAAAAGUAUGGGAAAAUGAAAACAAACCCUGCAAGAACAAGAAACAAGGAAGAAGCAGAAAGAAUGAACAAACCAAACUUCUAGAUCUACUUUCUGGUCCUCCUAUCUACAAGAAAUCAGUCUCACCAUCCAUCUGUUGAACUGAAUGAAUCUGCAAACCCUGAUGACCUUGUGGGUAUGCUGGUUUGGGUAUUGUCACUGCUGCCAAUAAGUGAUGAAGAAGAAAAAUCCAUCCCACUCAUUCCCUCGAGCGCUAAGGUAAAAACCCUGUUCAAAAAUAGAUCUUUUACUUUCGAAAAGUAAGUGCUAAGGUAAAUCUUAAAUCAACUAUACAAUUUGAUCAACCAAAUUCAAAAUUCAGAACAUAAUUACAAGUGUAAAAUAGCAGGGUUAUUGACUGCCAAACAUGGUUAGAAAUGCCUAAAACAACAAAGAUAUUGGAAAGAAAAGAAAAUGCACUUCUUCAUAGUUUAUAAAGCAAGAAAUUAAUUAUAAGAAAAAAAAGAUGGUACCUUCACACAUUCCAGUAUGGUUACUUGAUGCCUUUGCACUGCUUGAGAAUCAACUGUAAUAGCUCUCAUCAGCAUGUUCAGAGCAACAUAUCUGGUGAAAAAUUGAGGUUCAGCUCUACAAGUUGGAAGAGAUGAGCCAGUUGCAAAAAGAUAACCAUAACGACGUAUUACGAGUACAUUAAAUCCAUUAAGUAUGGGAAAUUAUGUAAUUCAAAGACUCAAAUCUAUGUGAGGAUAAAAGUGUGACACUGUGAUUACUACGGAGUUCAAGAGAAGACAGGAAAACAAGAUCUAAAUGUCAAUUGAUGCAAAUGUUAUCACCUCAACAAUCAUUUAUGCUGCUAUUAAUAAUUUUACACAUGGCUUAGGCAGACUAGGACAACACUGAGCACAUAGGCUAUCUUGCUAAAUAAUGUCAUAAGGAAAAAAUAAAUCAAUACACACACACACACGUAUGUAUGAAGGUAAAAACAUGGAAGAAAUAAAUAAAAGCAAUAUAUUUAAUCAGAAGUUGGAUACUCAAUUUUGGUAAUGCAGAUGUAAAACCACCCUCAUCAGAGUGAGCAAUUUCGAAUAGUCUAGCCUGGCAGAACACAUAUCAUUGCACAUGAUCUGAAUGAUAAACUACUUAUGUAAAUAGUAAUCAAGUAAAGUUUGAAAAUUUGUAAAUAGUACCAUAUUCUUAUCAAAGCUCAAUAUUGAAGCUACAUUUCCAUAUCGUUUAACAAUAAUUUGGUGCAGACCACACCUGCAUCAGCUAAGAAAAAUAAAUAUAAUAUAUUAAAUAUUUUCAAACAAUUCUAGUGCAAAAGCUGAUGUUAUAAUCUUUAUAACAUUGAAUAGGCAACUCACAGUUACAAGUCUUUAUCUUGAAACAUGUACUUCAGACCUUCUUUCACAAGUUAAUGGGCUCGCCAUAAAAGAUCAAGUUUGUUAAUGUGGUUGAAAUGUAGAUAAAUAAGAAAGAAAAUAUAACAAUUCUUAGUUUGGGAAUCAACCAAAGUAAGAUAUAAUAAUUACUUCUACAUACCUCUGAAGUAACCCUGAAUCCAAAUAGCCACCCAGCACCACGAGGACUGACUGCCCACGUUUCAAUUUCCUCAGGAUCACUCCACAUGAGGUCCCUUCAUGUGGAAUUUCACAAUUUCUCUCAACGACUUUAAUCUGUAAAGUGAAAACAAUGGAAGAAAUAAAAUAUAAUUUCUCAGAUUUCACAUCAACACUUCAGCUAAAAAAACACAACAGAUUACACUAGAAAAUAACAGACAAGAAUUGUGUAAUAUACUUAAAAAUAAAAUCACAAAAGAGUAUGGCAUCAUGAAAAAAGAAGGGUUAUUACAAAACAAGCCAACAGAUAAAAGCCUGUGUAGCAAUACAACUUCCCAGCAACCUUCAUAUACAGGUUCCAUUUUCCCUUUUCUCAUUUUCUCCCUUCUUCCUUGAAGAUGAAUUUUAAGGUUCCAUUUACUCGUAGUCAUCAAACAGGCCAAUACUUUAAAGGGAGAAAGGGCCGAAAAUUUUGAAUUAUUGGUUAACUGGCUCAACGCCAUAGGGAUAUCGAUUUCACUUCGUGUUAAGAGAUAUAUAGCAAAAGUAUGUCCUAACCACUCUAGAGAGUUCAACAUAUGUUAAGAGCAAGAGACAGACUAACAUAACCAGUUAUAAUAAUAAAUCAAACCUGGUCUAUAGUUCUAAUGUCGGGAGAAAGUCCACCAUGGACACAUAUUACCUAGAUUUCAAAGAGGUGGCAUAUCAGUUUAACAUAUGAAUACACAAAUACAUUUAUAUCAUGUGAGAGAGAAUGCAUAUUGUUCCAUCUAUAAUUGCAGAGAGAGUUAGGUAGUCAAAAACAUCUGUGCAAUACCGUCAAGCAUUAGCAUUUCCAUACUUUCUUUGACAUUCAUCAUAGAAUCCAUGAACUAAGAAAAAAAGUAAUUGUAAUUAAAAAUUUGCAAAUCAGGAAUUCAAACAUACAAGGUGCUUUAUGCAUCACAAGCAUGUAUUUCAUCAUAACAAUGAGGCGAAUGCACUAAGAAACCUCAUAUUACCUUUCUAGAAACUCAUAAUAAAGUUAUAAAUGAUAAACCAGGGGGAAUCAAAGAAAUGCAAUUCAAAUGACAACCUACCGGCCGUGAGACCUGGGCCUGUGGUUUCCUAAAUCAAAGAAUAGUGGCCAAGAUAAACAUGGAUAAUAUUAGCAUUACACAAUCUUUUGAUAGUUCAGAACUGCAAAGUGAGCUUCGAAAAUUGGCAACCUAUAACCAAAAAGCUCAAAAUGAGGCACAGUACCUGUUCAACUUUUCAAAGGAUGGAUAUGAGCUCUAUCAGACUGGUACCCGACUAAAAAAUGGAUCAAUUGUCAUAAACAGACAGGACAAUAAGACCAUAAGAGAAGGGCAUGAUCCCAAGUUUUGCAAGUAGAGCAGCCUCAGAGGAACUGACAACAAACUACGAUAAAUAUAACCAUAUAAUUGAUGAUGUUUAAUAACACAAGUAUUGUGAGUUCCUCUCUGCUCAUCAUUAGCUUUUAGAAUUAACCAUGUUAAAUCUUCUCAUUUUGGGUAAUAAUCUUAAGAUGUACGGCCUGGAGAAGUAUUUAGAAAGAAGUCUAAUCCUCAGAGUCUAUUUUAUAAGGUAUCAGAAAAUCCGUAGUCGAUAUAGUUUUGGAAUUAGAAAAUGUAUCCUUCGACUCUUCCUUAGAUAAGGUCCUAAUUCUGGAUAUUGUAAAUCCUCCCUACCUCAACUCAACAGAAUUAAUCAUUUUCCUAACUAUUUGGUUGCAGCUAUGAUAACUCUGCUUUCACAAAUAGUGAAUGAAUUAGCUCUUCACUAGAACUAGAACUAGAACUAGAAAUUCCGACACUCUUAAUCACCCACUACCAAUCAGCAGCAGAAACGUGAUCCAAAACACAAGUACACAUCACACAUACAGAGUUUUAAGAAACAUAAUUGUACUUUAAAAUUUUCCAUCUGAAAAUGGUUAUUAUCUAGUUGUUAGCAUGAUAAGUUAUCUAAUUGUUAGUAGAUAAGGAUAAUAGGUAACAAUUAUCUCGUUGUUAAUUGAUAAGAAUAGUAGUUAUCAUUCGUUAAUUAGUUGGUUAUGUAAGGGAGCCUUCUGAUCAGUUGAGAAUGGUCUGCUACAAAUUAUGCUCCUCUUUCCUCUCCUUCACCCUCAUGUUAUUUACUUUCUUUCUCUCCUUCCUCUCUUUCCACAUAUCUAUCUAAUCUCCUCUUAAAAUACAUAUAAAAGGUUGAUCUUCAUAUUCUUCAUUGCACGUCUUAAUUAAUUAACAUUCAUGAUGGUUAAAUGAUCGUACAUACAAGCCCAAUAUUUAAACCAAAUGUAGCACUUAUUUCACUAAUACCUUAGCCAAAAUACAAGAAAAACUCAUAUUUACCAAACUCUCUGCAGUUAUAUGAUAACUAGGAAUAAAUUAAAACACCAAGUCAAAGUCAGCACCAUAACAUAAAUCAACCACAUUUAUUAAUGGAGUUAAUAUAAACGUACCCAUCUCUGUAGUUAUCUGAAAUGGUAGUGGCCAAGCCCGUGCUUAACGCCCCACUUAAAUUCCCCUACAUACUGUCUUCCAUCAUCGCAGGUAUGAACACCACAUCCAUGACUCUGCCCAUUCGCCAGCAUACACAUCCCCUGUAUAAAACCUAUACACACCAAAUCCAUGCCUAAGCCCCUGCCUAUAUUGGUCGCAAUAGCGACUCCCUCUUGCCCAUGUUUCCACCCCAUAGCCAUCUUACUUUUCAUUAACCCAAUCACCCUCGUACCUCCCACUCAUGUAAUAAUGAUAAACCCCACUACCAGAACAUUUCCCCUUAUGAAAUUCACCCUCAUAUACAUCACCAUUACUAUAUGCUUGCACCCAACACCCGGGAUUCACCCCUUUUUUCCAAUUUGGGCCUCGACCCAAUUGACCACAAUACAGGCAAUGCAGGUCUAGACACAUGACUUGAUGAGAGCUUGAUUGGAAAAGACCUAGCAAGAAAUAGUCGGAUUGAGGGGAGCCGAGAGAGUGCAAGAUUGAGAGAGAAUAAAAGGGCAGUCGAAAUAAAAUCAAGCAAAACAGAACUACUUGGAUGUGAAACCAAAAAGUAAAAAAACGGCAAUGAUAACAAGAGGAUAAGGCGAAUGUGCACUCGUAGGCGGCAGACGUGGCGGAUGCGGUUGAGGAGGAGGUGAAAGGCGGCAGCUUUCUUGCCCAAAUUACUCGAAAUUCGAUUAUGCUAAAAAUGGGUUUUCAAGGAGGAAAAUGGAUGGUUGUGAAAGGAAUUGGGAAGAGAAUUUUUGAUUUUUUUUCUUAUGGUUUAGUACUGAACUAAUUAAAAAUAAAAUUAAAUAAUUUAAAAUUCUUUCUUAAUUAAAUUCCUCCCAAAUUAUUAUUUAACUGAAUAUUAUAUACAAUACCAAAAAAUAAAAUUACUUUAAAUUAAUCUCCAAAAGACUUUUUUUGGAUUAAUAUUAUAUACUUAGAAUAAAAUUUAAAGUCUUUUGGAUUAUUUAAUUUUAUUUUUUUAACUUUAACUUUAUUUAAUUAUGAUCAUAAAAAUAAAUUUUUAUGGAGAUAUUUUAAAGUUUAAUAUAGUGUAAAGUUAUUUACUUUAUAGUUUAUUAAAAUAAAUAGUUGAUGUAAGUUACUUAAAAAGUGUUAUUACAAUUAAAUUUACUAUUGUAAAAAAAUUAAGGUAUUUAUAUUCACCACAAUUAAUUCAAAAAAAAUUAUUUAGAACAAGAUAGCAACCAAUUUUAUCCAUCGCAAAAAACUUCUGAAUAAUGAUAUAUAGUGAGUAAUAAUUCCUUCAUUAAAUAGAUUUUUUUCCUCGUAAAUUUUCAUCAUAAAUUGGCUCCAAAAAACUUACUAUCGCCCCAAUUUUGCGAGGAAAAAAAUAUAAAUUGUGAAGGAUGUUUCUUUCGCUAAUAACUAUAUUGUUACUAUAUUUUUUUCCUUCAUUGUUCCUUCGCUAAAUAACUCCUCAUGUGAAGGAAUAAAUUCCUUCACAAAAUUUCCUUCGCUAGAGGCCAUUUUUGGUGUAGUGAACUUUUAUAACUAUAUAAUUUAAAAGUAUCCAUGAGCUAGAUAAAUGGGAACCCUCACAUGUACAUUAAGCACUUGAUAACUGUUCUAAUAUAAGUUUUUAAUUAUUUGGUUACUAACAAAAACUAAAAUGGUUACCCUUAUAUGUAGGUUUGGAUACCAACUGUACCUCUCGAACUAUUUUUAUUUUAAUAUAAAAUCUAUAAGUGACCAUCAUAUAUAUAAAUGAGAACUCUUAAUUGGAAUUUCUUAUUCUAUCAUAAUGACAGGGUAUAAAUAAAACAUAUACAUUUAACAUUUUAUAACAGUCCUGAUACAAAUUUAUAAUUAUCUGGUUACUAACAAAAACAAAAAUGGUUACUAUAUAUGAAGGUUUGGAUACCAACUUAACAUUUCAACUGAAAUAACUGAUGGAUAUUGUUCUGAACCAAUUUUAUGUAAAUUUGGUUACUCACAAAAAAUAAAAUGGUUACCUCUAUAUGCAGAUUUAAAUACCAAUUGUACAAUUUCCAGAUAAUUUUUAUGAUAAUGUAAUUUAUAAGUAUACAUCAACUAGAUAAAUAAAACACUCUCACAUGUACAUUUAACACUUGAUGUUUGUCCUGAUACAACCUUGUAACUAUCUGGUUACUAAUAACAGUAACUAUAAUAUAACAUAAUAAAACAGUAACCACAUAAUUAUAUGAUAGUAACCAGGACAGUUUUUAAUGGUAACCAAAACAGAAACAUCAUGUAAUGAAACCCAGUUUAGGCAAUCCAUGUAUACUAAACAAUUACAUAUUAACCAGAAUAAAAAAUAAAAGUAACCAAAAUCCCACAUUGAUGGCACAAUAAUAGUAGCCAAACCAUAAGAUAACAAUAACCAAAACAUAAUAAAGAAGUAACCAAAUAGCUAUAUGAAAGUAACCACAACAUGUUUUAAUAAUGAUAACCAAAACAGAAACAACCUGUAUAUCCAACCCAGUUUAGGCAACACAUGUAUACUCUCAUAUGUACAUUUAACACUUGAAUUAUGUCCUGAUACAAACUUGUAACUAUCUGGUUACUACCAAUAAAUACAAUGGUUAUCAUUCUAUGCAUGUUUGGUUACCAACUGCACCUUUCAAAUAAUGUAUCAGACACAACUUAGAAGUAGCAAAUACAGACCAACAAAUAAUGUCAAAUCACAGGUAAUAUAAUCAAAUAUGUAAUCUUAUUUACAAAAGUUCCAAUAAACAUUACAGACUCACCCGAACUAAUAAACAAUGUCAAAUGGUUAUGGAUAUUCAACAAAAACCAAAGUAUGAAACACAAUUCAAAAGGACAGUACAAUGACAACCAGAACUAAUCAAAAUCUGGUACAAAUCUUCGUAAAAAUUCUCUGAAGUUGUGAAAAAGCCAACUGCGGAGGCGCAUCUCGUCUGGAAGGAAAUCUCUAGUUCCUUUGAGAUGAUUAACGUCAAUUUUCUGUCAGAGUUGAGAGAUAGUGGUGUUGCGGCGGCAACGGAGAAGGAAGACGACGAUUGGCUUCGAGAGGAGAGAGGGAAAUAGUAAAGGCAGGGAGAGAGAGAAGUAGUAAGGGCGGAGAGAGACCGAACGAGAAUGGAGUCUUUCAGGAAGAUGGAAACUAAUUGUUGUAUAGAUGGCAGUUAUCACGCGUUUCAAAAAAAACACCCUUUUGCCAUGUCAGCCCAUUAAUAUUAAUCCCUUAAAUUAAGGACUCCUAAUUAUAUUAGUAUUGUAAAUAUUUAUGAUGAAGUGUCAUAUUUUUGUAAUUAUUUUAUGAAUGUAUGAUUUUUGUAAUUACUUUUAUAAAUGUACUAUAAUAUGUAAUUGUUCCUUACCAAAACUACAUAAAAUAUCCAAAACUUACAUCAUUGCCUGUAUAGUAUCUGUAUUGUACAAUUUUUCUUUACUAUCAUAAAAUUAGUACACACAACUCAACAUCAAAACGAAUUUCUUUUGUUCGAGGUUUGUAAUUCUAAUUUAACUCAAAUCAUGUUCUUUUCAAUAAGUUAUUACAAUCUAAUUAUACAACCCGUCAUAAUAAUGUUAAACACUUGAUUGCCACACGAAUUAUGCAUUCACUUUAUAAAUCUUUCUUUAACUACAAAUAAGAUUUAUUUGCAAGAAUGAGUACAACGGCUCAACAAGUCCACCAGUUUUUGCAUUUUGUAUUUCACGUAACAAAUAUGUUAUGGAUUCUAUUCAAUGACAUACAUUUCCUUUUAUGCAUUUCAUAAUGCAACAUAAUACUCAUGUAAUGCAUUUUAUAACUCAUGUUGUACAUCAAAUACACAUUUCUCAGUUUACGUAUCAUGCUUUCAAUUUUAAACAUUUAAUAUAUGAUUUACAGAUCGAUAAACACAUUACCAAGUUCACAUAUAGCAUCGAAUUCCAUUAUCAAACACAUAUCAACAUUUUUCAAUACCACAUUAUCAUAUAAUCAACCAAUUUACAAAUAACUGUAAAUUCUUACAAUAAGAUUUUAAUUCAAUAAGAAAGAUAGAAUACUUGCAAUAAACUUUCAAUUUAAUAAGAAAGUUGGUAUACCUGCCUUCACAAGGAAACGCUUUCGGGUUAAUUUGAUUCCGCGUAUUCGAAACAAUACUACCUCGUAUCGCAACUAUAUAACGUAUAUAAAGUUGUUAUAGGUUAAUGCAUUUAUAUUUCAUAAACUUCCAACUUAACUUUGUAUUUUUAAAGUUUAGUAAUCCAUUCUUAGGUUUAUAAUACUAUAAGUUAGUUAUAGAUAAUAUUUUAAUUUCUAUGUAUUUUUAACAAUUUCUCUUCAUUGCAUCUUCAUUUAACUCAAAACAGCCCAUGGAAAACAUCUUGAGCACUGAAGUGCAACGCAGCCGGCAGCGCGCGCCUGCUGCUGUUCCAUGCAGCUGCUGCUGCUGUCUGCUGUCUGCAGUUGUUGCUGCUCUGAUUUGCUGAACUGCAGCAGUCCCAUGACCAACUUACCUACUUUGCGAUUUUCUAAUUUUCAAACCAUACAUCCGAUUGGAACCAAAUUUGAAUAUGAUAUACAUGGUGUUACAUACUAUUUUAUAAAAAUGUAAACUAACCAAAAACAACAUCUUAGACAGGUUUUAUAAGAGCUCAAAACUGUCCUGUUAAAGAAGUUUUUCAACUGAGCCUACUUUGUUCAUUUAUCACAUUCGCUUUUAAAUUUGUUUUGACUUACCCAAACCACUUGGGCAAUAAAUACUAAAACUAUUACCAUUUUGAGUGCCUAUGUGCACAUCACUAGAAUGCAAAUACCACAUUACAUCUUUGUGACAACCAAAAGUGUUAUGUCAAUACAUGUACAAGUCAAGCUCGACAAUGGUGCUUAUAAAUACAAAGAAAAAAAGAAAAAAAGAAAAAAAGAAAAAGAAAAAGAAGCACUGUAAUACUUGUCAUGCAGGAAAGCACAAACAACAUUUUAUCUUUAUUUUUCUUCUUGCAUCCGGUGAGAUAAUGCUAUUUGUUGGUGAAGCAACUCUUUCUAUAGUUCUCCCACUUCGAGUUGUGGGCAUACCCUUCACGAAUUCUACACCUCCCCAACAGAGUCGCCAAAUAAAUGUGGGCAAGGAAAUCGUACCUUGCUAGGGUUAGGGUUUCGUGUUGGCUGAGGAGGAGAGAAAUCCACGAAAAGUACGGAAUUGAUUGAUUGAUUAAAGAGGGGAGAACGACAGGUGGGCGAUUACUCCAACGACGCGUGACAGAACUCCUAGAAUCUGGGAACUGUGUUAGGGUAACAAGGAUUCCAAGAGCCUUCUUGAGUCCUUCCAAUUGAGAGAAUGUCCAAACCCUUUUGGUGCUUUUAGGUGGAAUCUCCAAGCCUUUAAGUCACCAAAAAGGGUCCCUUUGAUCUUCCAUGAGUCCAAGUCUUGAGUCUCCAGAGAAGUCCCCUUCCCAAUGGAAUUGGAAGGGGUAUUUAUAGGGUUCUCGGGAAAGUAGUCACGUGCAAGGCACAUGCUUUCAAGGAAAUUCCAGAAAUACCCUUUAGUCAUUAGAAUAAUGUUCAUAUUGCCCUGUCCUUCUAGCCACCAAUCCAAUCCCUCAAUCAAUUCCCAAAAUGAGUCGCCUCCACGAGUCUUCUGCCUCGGGACACGUGGAGGCUUCUCUCGAGUCUCGCAUAUUUAUUUCUGACUUUUCUGUUUGUCAUUCAAUGCUUUAGAUCGUAUCUGAAUCCUAAUUUGUACUUGGGCUCACACAUGCUUUGCAUUUAAUCACAUAACAUUCAUAUAUCCAACUUGCAUGUUCAUAUAGAUCAACAAAUUUCGCUAAAUACCAUAUAUUCAUGGUUCAAUACACAUCAUAGCAUAACUUCCACAUAACAACAAGUUUACAAAUUACUGUAAGAAACUUGUCUCGCUUGACAUGUUAAGAUUUAUUAUUCAAUUCUCUUACUUCUUGUCAUAAAUUAUUUCUAAACAACCUAACUCACUUGGCAUGUUUAUAUAUAUAUAUAUAUAUAUAUAUAUAUAUAUAUAUAUAUAUAUAUUGCCAUGGUACAACCUAACUCACUUUCUCAUAUUAUGUAAUAAUUUCCUAUUUAAUCAUUAAUCUGACACCAAUAUUUAUAUAUAUUGGUCUCACAUCUCAUAUUUUUAUUUCACAUCCAUUUAGUAUAAUUCUACAUAUUAUACAAUCAUAUGUUACAUUAUAGUAACAUAAUUCUCAUUACCAAGAAAAUAAUUUUCUUCCUUCAAUUAAUCAAAAAGAAUAGAAUAUAUUAACCCACCAAUUUCCAAACAAUGAACUAAUUAUUUCAUCCCAUGUUAAAAUUAUGUUUGUUUGGCACAAUAUCAUAUAUUAAGCCACUUACAUAAAUAUAUUACACUUAUUUGUAAUAUAUUAAAAUAAUUAUUUUAAUUAACUUUCUCAUUCUCAUUAAAACAAAAUACAUAUAUUAAUUCACUAAUUUUAUUAAGUGAAAUAAUCAUCUUACUUGUGAAAUAAUCAUCUUGCUUAUGAAAUUAAAUUCAUAAUUAAUCCAUUGCCAUAUAAGGUUUUAAUAUUCAAAUUAUAUUAUUUCAUUAUAUAAUUUUUAACUUAAUAUGAAUUAACUAAUAUUAUUUAGUUUACUUCCUUCGCCUCCAUAUUCCUUUUUGUAUUAACUCAACUAACAAAUUUAUCAGUUAAAUCCACUAUAAAAUCUUAUUUUUUUUAUAAAUGUAUAUAUUUUAUAAUUAUAUAUACAUUUUAAAUCUACCACUAAAAUCACAUAAAUGUAUACAUCCUAUAUAUUCAUACAUUCAAGCCCAUUACAUCUCACAAUAAAAAUUUAUAUAUUAAAUUCUUAUUUUAAUAAUUUUCGAAAUUCGGAUUGUCACAUUCUUUCUUUCUUAUAAGGAUUUCAUCCUCAGAAUUACAAUUACCAAAACAUCCUUACCCGGUUUACAUUUAUCCUUCCUCGUAACUUUAUUGUUUGAAUAAUUUCAACUUUAAUUAAUAUAGGUUUUAUGUUACCUAUUUCUCCUUAUUUAGUUCUUAUAGAUUUUACUUCAUAACCUUUAUUUGAACUCGAUUAUAUUCGAGUAUUAUACAUUCUUUAGCCCAUCAACACCCUUUUUCUACGGAUCACUAUAAGUCUCAAUCGUAUCAUCGUUUACUAAUGCUUAUAAUUAUUCAGGAUAUAACAUUCACCGGCGAUUCGUCCUUUAAAUUUUAACUCAAUAAUCUUCAUUCGUUUGAUUCGUUAAAAAUAGAUUUUUAUAUUAAUCUUCAUUUAUUAAUUGGGUUCUACGAAUAUUUUCUCUUUUAUCAGAAAAAAAAUCACCCCUUCCUAACAUCCAGUACUUUCAAGAGAACAUAGUAACUUUCAAAAGUCUUCAACAAUUGUGAAGCAGUAUGAACAAUUAGGAAUAAAAAAAAUUCCUUUAAGAAAAACAUUUUCGAAUCAAGCUAAGGGGUCACAAAACCUUGAAUUAUUUAAUAGAAAAUUUAACAAUCACACAGACCAUAAACAUUUCUACAUCAGUGCUCUAGGUGAUCAGCCUAUUGCAAUACUACGUCAUAUACAUCCUAUUAACGCAUCAACGUAAUUUGGAACUAUAGUCUCCAAUAACAUGUCUCACAUUACAUAUAUGGUUGGUUCACCUCAGAUUUAGUAAAAAAUUCCGCACAAAAAACAAUUUGAUUUAACAUAAAUUCUCAAAGAACGCUUGAAUCAAAUAACUUAGACUUUCAUCAACAAUUUAGACAUCAAUUGAAACAUUUAUCUAAUCAACUUAACUGACAUCAUUGUUGGUUUGAUUGGGUUAUAAAUUAGUAAGGAAGAAGCGUUAUGUAGGUGGUAUGGAGUGAUAAGGGUGAAUAUUUUUUUUUUGGCUAGACUCACUUAUAAAUACUGGUGAACUCUUUUUCUUAAAGGGAUGCACUUAACAUGUUUGAAAAAUUACCUCUUAGAGGCUGUCAAGUAUAAAAAGGGAGAAUUGGUCAAGGUUGUUAAUAGAGAAGUCUUAAUAUAUGUUAUAUAAAGUAAUUGGUGGGCAUCAUUUAAUGAACAAAUUUUUAUCACUGACAAAAGUUUUUGUUAAGUCACGCCACGAGUCCUGCCGAAUUGUUUAAAACAAACCGAGCUUAGUAACAAUUUAUCAAUUAAUAAAUAUGAUAUCUAAAGGUAUUGAUUCUAGAAAGAACACGUAACAAAAGGUUUCACUUAAAGAUGCCAAGUUCAAAGAGUCCAGACUUUGGAUGCAAAAAUAUAGUAGAAUGUCUCCCAUUUCAUAUCUUUGAACAUACAUUUGACUGAAUAUUGAAGACAACUAAAGAAGUCUAUUAGCAUCUCUAAAUACCAAUACCAAACUGUAAUCAGGGAAAUUGUAAUAAAGAAGCAGAAACAAGAUAAUCUACAUGACGGGAAUGCCAUUAAGUCAGUAAGAGGGGAGCUUUUGAAGGAAACAAUUUCAUAUAGAAAGGAAUAGUUAUUCAUAGGAAGAGGGAGCAGUUUAGUGUUUUCAUACACAACAAGUAAGGCAAGUAACUCAAGCAUUUCAAGGCGCAAACCUAGAUUUUGACCAACCACUUAUUGAAGACGCUUCAGAAGGGAGUUCGACAUCACCACAUAUGGCCAAUCAACAACAAACCAAUGCAGGAAGGCAAGGCGAGGAUGCAGGUGGAGACCAGACGAAUGUUGUACAACUGGAGAUGCUCAAGGCGUUGAAGGAAGCACGGGAAGAACAAGAGAUGAUGAUGGUUAUGAUGCUGGAGAUGCAGAGGAAGCAAGAGGAAAUGGGAAAUUUCCGACAGCAGUUGAUGUCGAUUCCCACUUUCAAGGCCAUGUUCCCAGACAAUUCACAAGGAGAACAAGCAGGAGUGGAGGACAACAACAACGAUAGCAACAAUAAGGAGAAUCAAAUUGCACCUCCGUUGACGGAGAAUCAGUCUGUUCCCAAUCAUCCACUUGGAACCUCAUAAUAGUGGUGACGUGCCACAACCCAGACUAGAAGUCAGCCAGCCUCAAACAAAUAUCAUUCCGACCACUAUCCUCGCAUUUUCACAAGUGCAGAUACCAACUAUCCCAAGCAUUGUCCAACGAACCAACACACAAGCACAACCGAUAAAGAAUUUACUUGAUGCCAAUGUACAUCAACCAAUUUCUGUACCAUACACACGGCCAAUUCCGCCAUACAUCACAACACCACAGAGAGUCCACACCACAAGCCAAUAUAUCACAAAGGAUGAUAUGAUCGAUGUGAUCAAUCAACUUCACAAGCAGACAUCCCGACCUUCGGAGUUAGGCUUUACUCCACCCUACCAAGCACAUAUUCGGAGACAACCUUACCCGACAGGGUAUAUCGAGCAUCCCCCGCAAUUUCCAAAAUACAAUGGGGAGAAAGGAAAUGUCAGGGAACACAUUGUCAGGUUCGUGGAGUCGAUGUCUCCAUGGUUAGGAUAUGAUGAAAUGAACAAUCAUAAUUUGUUGAUGAGAGAAUUUAACAAGACUUUGACGGAUAAUGCCUUCAGUUGGUACUACAACUUGGAGAAGGGAUCAGUCCAUGAUUGGGAUGAUCUAAAAUUGCAAUUUUUUAAGAAAUUUUUUUAUGUGCAGAAACAGGUAACCAUCGUAGAGCUCGUGCGAUUCAAGCAGAAGCCAAACAAAGAGCUGUCAGAUUACGUGGAUAGGUUCAGGGCCCAAGCGCAGAAGUGUGCAGAGCCAAUUUAAGAAAAGAACUUGGUUAGCAUAUGCAACAAUGGUGCUUUAGACACCUUCAAGCCCCACCUCAUUACCAAAGCGUGUGAUUCAUUUGCGACCAUUUCAUCUUUUGCACAAGACUUGGGAGGAAUCAUGACGUUUCCCACCAGCCAUGCGAUGGUUACAUGGAAGGGUAAGAGGACAACAACUGUGGCUUUGGCGGAUUCUCAAUCAAAACCACAAGGGGCAAGAGGGAGAAGAAUGAGAAAUUUGAGCGAAGCAGAGAAAAACAUGGGGACAAGUAUACCAGAAUGCCAGUUCCGGAGGUUAUCACAUGCAGCGAGAAGGCAUUCAGAAGCCUGUACGAAAAAUGGGUUGAGCACGGAGUGGUGAAGCCUCUAAGGCCCCGGCUGGUUGUAACGGAAGAGAUGAAAAGAAGACCGGACUUCUGUGUAUACCACCAAUACGCAAGACAUUCCACUAUGAACUGUUACAGUCUGCGGAGGAUAUACCAUGAUAAGCUGGCGGCUGGGGAGAUUGAACUAAGAGAAGAAAUGUGCAACACUAUCACCCAUGGUGCAGUUCCGGAAGUCAAGAACCCAAAUACUGGCUCUACCAUCGAAAAAACUCUGAACUACAGAUGAAUUAAAAAUCCACCCAAGAUGGUGGUCCACCAAAAAAAUGAUGGUUUAAGUCCUCGGGAGUUUCCCUUUCCAAGUAAUUGGAUGACCAAGGGAAGAGGCAUACGAAUUGACGAAUUUAAAAAAACAAAUCCACCCAAGAUGGUGGUCCACUCUAAAUGGUGGUCAAGUUCUCGUAGACCGCACUUGCCAAGAAAUUGGACGACCCAAGUGACGAGGCACCCGAUUCAAGUCCUCGUAGACUGUACUUGCCAAGAAAUUAGACGACCCAAGUGACGAGGCACCCGAUUUCAAGUCCUCGUAGACUGCACCUGCCAAGAAAUUGGACGACCCAAGUGACGAGGCACCUGAGUGUUAUACUUUAUCAUCAAAAGUGAACGAGGCACCUGACUAUAAGUCCUCAUAACUUAUGCUUUCAACUUCAAAAGUAAUUGAGGCACAUGAGUAUAAGCCCUCAACCCCAAAAGUUACGCUUUAUCUUUAAAAGUGACGAACGUUAUGCUUUCUUCGACAAAAGCAAGAAAGUUACACUUUAUCUCCAAAAGUGGCGAACGUUAUGCUUUCUUCAACAAAAGCAAGAUUUAUUAUAUGAAACGUUAUGCUUUUCGUUAAAAGCAAUAUGAUUAUCAAUGAAUUGACAAACUUUCACUUAUACUUGAAAGUUUUCCUGAUUUCUUUAAAAAAAAGUAUAAAUUCAAGUGUUGGUUUGUAGAAAAUAUAUAUACAUGUUUUUUUUAAAAUAAAAUUCAUGUUUACUUGUUUAUAAUACCUAUUGUUGUCUUGGAGUAUUAAUUUGAAUAACUUGAGAUUCAAUGAUAAACAUUAAGUUUUAAGAAAUCAUUCAAAUUAAAAGUAAUCAACAAGGUUAAAGAAACUACAAUUUGAUGAAUGAAAUAUAUGUACAUGAAUUUUCUGAUACAAGAAAUGGAAAAAAUAACGAAAGUUCAUGAUCCAAAGGCCAUGACCUGUUGAAUUGAAGAGAGGGGAAUAACUAAAGUUUGGCCUUCAACGCUAUCAGGCCUUCAAUGCUAUCACGUCUUCGAGGAUAUCAUGUCUUCAAGGCUAUCAAGCCUCCAAUGCCAUCAGGCCUUCAAUGCUAUCAGGCCUUCGAGGCUGUCGGGCCUUUAAGGUCUUGGGCAGCUGACUCAAUUUCCCAAAAGAUUGGUCUUCAAUUUAUCUAUGGCAUCUUAAAGCUCCUAAGGUUUUACAUGAUGAAGUAAGUCGUUUCCAUGGUGAUGAGAAGCGACUUUCGAACGAAGUGUAACAACAUGAUAAUGGGAGAGAUCCAACCUAACAUGGAAGGAAGACAUGUUUGAAGAGGGUUAGGAGAUGUCAUGGGAUGCGGAAGGUCAUUCAAACCACCCAAAGUGCUAUCCACAAUACCCUCCCGAGCAAUCACCAACUCGGCGGGCAGCAGGCCAUCCGAGCUUACAUCAGACAAAGAAUUCUUAGCAUCAAGACUCGAAGGAUUACAUAAUGUGGUGAAGGAUUAGAUCGAAGAUUUUUUUCAAUAUAUCCCAGGAGAGCUCUUCAAGGGCUCGCCCUCCUAGGGUUUGCUCCCCUAAAGGUUCCCUCUCCUAGGACUUUCAUUUUUUGAGGCUUGCAAAAAAUAUCAAGCCCCGCGAAGUGUUUAGAAACUGGAAUCAAGGCUUCAACACUUAAAAAUAUUUUACGCGAUCAUCUCACCAAAGGCGUGACUCACGCGCAGGGGAAAAAUGUUUACUGAUAGAUGGCAUAGACAUCCUCAAGAGUAGAGAUUUAUUCCCCCUAGAAGUGAUGAAUACACAUAUAGAGGAGCAACAUGGUCCUGUUGGAUACGAAUGUCCCUGUAUAGCUGGAUACAACGAAGAAUGUUAGCCUUCUCUUUAGUAUAUCCACAUAAUCAGCAUUCCCAAGUAUCUCGCCAGUCCAAUGUUGUCAUUCCUGAAGGUGGUUAGAUGAAUAAGACAAGAAGUGAAGUAGAAUGUGAUCAAAAUGGGGAAAGUCAUCACAACUUCCAUAAGCCGCUGGAUAUAGAAACAAGCCUUCCUUAUCUGGUGGAGGAAAAGUUAUACGAUCAUAAGUUUGGACUUGCUUCCAAAAGACGGUGAAAAGACCAAAGGAGGGGAGCCCUUCCCCAAUCAUUGAGAAACGGGGCCUCCUUAGUUGUUCCCUUCAUCCUUCGGCCAUGUAGGCUUCGGCCCCCUAGGGUUUGGCCAUAUAGGCUUCGCCCACCUAGGGGUUGUUCCCUUUAACCUAUAGGGUUCGGCCAUGUAGGCUUCGGCUCCCUAGGGUUCGGCCAUGUAGGCUUUGGCCACCUAGGGGAUGUUCCUUCAUAUCUCCAAGGUCAUGUUCCUCCACGAAUCAACUGCUUGGAACGAAUCCUCUUUCGCCGCGAAAAUUAUAACCUUCCUCUGAUGAAUUCCGAGGGAAAAAAACCAAGAUGUAAUCAAGGUAAUGGGGCUCGGAAGACAAAAGAAAGAUUGGAGGAUCUUAAAAAAAAAAAAAUUAUUACAUAGGGUUCGACACCUCCCUAUAGGGCCUUGCAAUUGGAUAUGCAGUUCUUGUUAAAUGGACAACAUUCAAAAAAAAAAAAUCUUGAAUCGCAUCACGAAAGGUUGAGCAUGACAUGCUGUCAAAUGUUACCUCAAUUUGUAUUAUAAUUAAUGGACUUAGCAAAGUAGGUGAAUUGGCAGCCACACAAAAUUAUUUGAUUGAAGGAGGCAUGUGGUUUUUUUCUUGAAAUACAUAAAUUUGGGUCCUCCCAAAUUUGGUGGUUGACAUACUUUAAUUGAUGGGUACUAUGAAGAAGGAACAUAGAGGUUGCCAUGGGGUUAUACAUAGAAAGGAUAAUCAAAGACCUCGAGCAUGAUGUAAUUGCUUACACAGAUUUGAUUGAUGGGCAUUUUGAAGAUUGCAAUUCCAAAGUAGUUCUCCCUCCGUACAAAGAGAUGAUGCCCUCUGGUGCUCUUAUCAUGCUCACCCCUCUCAAGAAAUAAGAUAAGUAAAUGUUUUAUUUAUUUCUAAAAAAAUAAAAUAAGAUUUUAUUUUUUUUUUCGAACAAAUAAAAUAAAAUAAGAUUUUAUUUUUAUUUUUUAAAAAUAAAACAAAAAAAUAAAAAAAAACUUAUGAAUUACUAAUAAAGUUCUUCCCGGAGAUUAGCGAUUACUGAAAAUAUAUAUGAACGAGGGAAUAUUUUAUGGGGUCUUACAAUUUGGAAAUUCUGUGGGUAAUUGUGAUAAAUAAAAGGUAAUUAAUUAGACAAUUAGGCGUUGCUGGAUUUACGCCUUUAAUCAUAACUAGAGAAUUAUAUGCAUGGGAUAUAGGAUUUGUCAUUUGUAUAUCCAUUUUAUAAAUUGAGGAAAAGAGAUUGUUUAUCAUUUCUGACUGACCCAAGCAUCAUACCAUUAUUCUAAAGUCCUUCCCAUAAUAUUACUUAUGGAAAGUUAGAAUUAUAUCCCAUCAAAAAGAUGCCUUGAUUCAAUCACUUUAGUAUCCUGACUUGCAGAACUUUUAUUUCAUUUUAUAUGGAAAUAUUUUGCAAUGACCAAUCACAGUUUCACAAGGAAUUCCUGUAAAAGCUAAAAAAAUGAUUUGGUUUUGAAAAUGAAGCCCGUGUUCAUAAGUAAUCAAAUCUUCAAUUGAAAAAUAUUAUAUAUAUAUAUAUAUAUAUGGAAUAUUUAAUAUUAUUUUCAAUUAAAAAUAAGAAAGGAUUUGAUCUUGUGUCCAAAAUAAAAUAAGAUUUUAUUUACUUAGUAAUAUAUAUAUAUAUAUAUAUAUAUAUAUAUAUAUAUAAUUAAGAAAACAAAGAUUGAGCAGGAUUUGGGAAGGAUCUUCAAGAUAUCUUGGGAGAGCUCUCCUAAGGGUCCCCUCUCCAAGGAUUUUCUGUUUUCAGGACUUGCAAGAUUGAGCUCCGCGGUUUGUUCAGAAAUUUGAAACACGACUAAAAGACUCGAAGUAAUUUGCACGAUCGCCACUCCAAAGGUGUGACUCACGUGUAGGGGGCAAAUGUGAGCCCAAGUACAAAUUAGGGUUCACAUACGACCUAAAGCAUUGAAUGACAAACAGAAAAGUUAGAAAUAAAUGUGCGAGACCCGAGAGAAGCCUCCACGUGUCCCGAGGCAGAAGACCCGUGGAGGUGACUCAUUUUGGGAAUUGAUUGAGGGAUUGGAUUGGUGGCUAGAAGGACAAGGCAAUAUGGGCAUUAUUCUAAUGACUAAAGGGUAUUUCUGAAAUUUCCUUGAAAGCAUGUGCCUUGCACGUGACUACUUUCCCGAGAACCCUAUAAAUAUCCCUUCCAAUUCCGUUGGGAAGGGGACUUCUCUGGAGACUCAAGACUUGGACUCUUGGAAGAUCAAAGGGACCCUUUUUGGUGACUUCAAGGCUUGGAGAUUCCACCUAAAAGCACCAAAAGGGUUUGGACAUUCUCUCAACUGGAAGGACUCAAGAAGGCUCUUGGAAUCCCUGUUACCCUAACACGGUUCCCGGAUUCUAGGAGUUCUGCCACGCGUUGUUGGAGUAAUCGCACACCUGUCGUUCUCCCCUCUUUAAUCAAUCAAUCAAUUCCGUACUUUUCGUGGAUUUCUCUCCUCCUCAGCCAACACGAAACCCUAACCCUAGCAAGGUACGAUUUCCUUGCCCACAACAUGAAAACUAAGAAGUUUGUGUUAGUUAUAGAACAUGAAGAUUAUAAUGCAUUACAUGAAAUGUAGGAUGCAUACCAGGAAACACAGGAGCUAGGCAUGUACAGAAUACAUAAUACUUAAUAAAUCACGCAUGAAUAAAAUGCAAGUAUGUAUGUUAUGUGAAGUUUGUAAUGUAUAAACUGUUAGAAUUAUUGGCCAUUGUGUUCAAACAUCCAACUAUUUGCAAUUUAAAGAUGUGAUGCAAUUAUCUCUAUAUCAUGAUGAUCAAGACUUGAAGCACGUUUAAAAGAGAACUUUUCAUUAUUUUCUUCAAUUGUAUUUAUGUUAAGCUAAAAUGAUAGUUUACAAUGCAUGUAAGCUAUGUUAUGCAAAGUACAUUAGUUUAAUGCAUGGUUACAGUGUAUCUAACAAUGUAAAAUGAACCUUACGCUUAUAUAUAAUAUUUUGAAAUGGAUCUUUAUGUAUAUACGAUCUUAAAUAUAAGUACAUAUAAUAAAGGUUACGAAUCCUGAAACUAAGAAAAGAUUGAAAUAGCUAAGUUUUAAUAUUAAUAUUAUAUGUUAUAUACAGUAAGAAUAAAGUUGAUGGUGAAAAUUCAAGAAAUGAAAGAUAAUUGUAAAAAGAUUAAAUUUACCUUUGGAGGUUAUGCAAUUAGUUGGAGAGCUACUUUAUAGCAUACGAUUGCUCUCUACUAUAGAGGUCGAAUAUAUGGCUAUUAUAGAGGUUGUUAAGGAAGCUAUUUGGUUACAAGGCUUGUUUGCAGAGAUCAUCAUGGAUCAUGGAGUUACUAUUGUCCAUUGUGAUAGUCAGAGUGCUAUACACUUGACUAAAGAUCAAAUGUUUCAUGAGAGGACGAAGCAUAUUGAUGUCAGGUAUCAUGAUUUUGUUAUAGAUAUUGUAGAAGAUGAUGACAUUAAGGUCUUGAAGAUUGGUACUACAAACAAUCCAGUUGACAUGUUAACUAAGCCGUUACCACAUACCAAAUUCAAACAUUGCUUGAACCUGGUUAGUGUUCGAUGCACUUGAGUUGUGCAUUUGAGAAGAGAAAGUUCAUUGUUUGUGCAAUAUUUGGAGGAUUCAAGUCAAGGUGGACAUUUGUUGGGUAUGACAUGAAUCCUUAUUAGAUUUGGAUUGAGCUAUUAUCUAGAAUAUGUUUUGCUUUAAGAAAGUUAUCUUUUCUAACUAUACCCAAUUUAGUAUUUCUAAUCCUAUUUGGUUAUGAAUUUUCCUAUGACCUAUAAAUAUAGGUGCUAGAAUUUUGGAGAAGAGACAUUUAGAAAUAUUUUAAGAAUUCUCAUAGUUCUCUCUAUUUAUCUUGUACUCUUUAGAUAUUUAUUUAAUGGAUUUCUUCUACCUUCUUUGUGGUUUUUUUCCGAUUUAGAUUUUCACGUAAAACCUUGUGUUAUUGUCUAUAUUUUUCUACUUAAUUUGAUUUAUUAUGUUUGUCAUAGUUUGUCAUAACAUAUAUUAAAUAUGUUAAUUUUGAAAAAUAAAAAUUUAUUCUCAAAGUUAGAAUUGCAAACAUACUUAGAUAUAAAGUUAUACUAUUUUGAAAUUAAAAUUUAAUUUUGAGACGCUGAAAAUAUAUAUUUUAGGUAUCGUUUUAAACAAAUGGAACAUAUGUAAUACCCUUCAAGCUAGAAAAUUUAUAUAAACAAUUUUAAGAAAAAAAAUAUCAAAAGUGAAAUUUCAGUUGUACAAGCCUUGUUGAUAAAUUUAUUAACAAAUAAGAAGAGGUCAACUUAUUAUAUUUUUUUUGUUCCACAAAAAAUAUUUCAUGGUAACUGUUAUGAUAAACUAUGACAAACACAAUAAAUCAAUGCAUAAAGAUAAAGACAAUAACACAAGGUUUUACGUGAAAAUCCAAAUCGAGAAAAAAAUACGAAGACAGAAAAAAUUCACUAAAUAAAUAUUUGCAGAAUACAAGAUAAAGAGAGAAGUAUGAGAAUUUUUAAAAUACUCCUUAAUGUCUUUUCUCCAAAAACUCAGCACCUAUAUUUAUAGGCCAUAGGAAAAUUCCAUAACCAAAUAGGAUAAAAAAUACUAAAUUGAGUAUAACUAGGAAAGAUAACUUUCCUAAACCAAAACGGAUUUUAGGCCAAUAAGGAUUCAUGUCAUACCCAAUAAAUUUUCACCUUGACUUGAACCUUCCAAAUAUAUCACAAAAAAUAAACUUUCUCCUCUUCUCAAAUGCACAACUCAAGUGUGUCAAACACUAACCGGGUCCAAGUAAGGUUCGAACUUGAUACAUGGUAACAACUUUGUUAACAUGUCAGCUCGAUUGUCUGAAGUACCUAUCUUCAAGAUCUUAAUGUCACCACCUUUAAUAAUGUCUCGAACAAAAUAAUACCUGACAUCAAUAUUCUUCGGCCUCUCAUGAUACAUCUGAUCAGUGGUCAAGUCUAUAACACUUUGACUAUCACAAAGGACAACAGUACCUCCAUUAAUAUCCAUGUUGAUCUCUCCAAACAAGCCUUGCAACCAAAUAACUUCCUUAACAGCCUCUAUAAUAGCCAUAUACUAUACCUCUAUAGUAGAGAGAACAACCACAUGUUGUAAAGUAGCUCCACAACUAAUUGCACAACCUCCCAGUGUAAAUAGAUAACCAGCCAACAAUCUCCUCCUAUCAAGAUCACCAACAUAGUCUGAAUCAACAUACUCUAUAAGGGUAUCGCCAUUCCUUCCAAACUCUACACCAACAUCAGAGGUACCUCACAAUUAUCUUAAAAUCCAUUUAAAUGCUUCCCAGUGAAUUUUACCUAGAAGUGAUAAGUAUCUACUUACCACACUAAUGACAUGUGAAAUAUCUGGAUGAGUACAAAUUAUAGAGUACAUGAGGCUACCAAUUACACAAGAGUAGGCAACACUUAACAUAUAUCUAACCUCCUCAUCUGUCUGAGGAGAUAAUUCAACUGAUAAUUUGAAGUGAGCAGUAAGAGGAGUACUUACUAGUUUGGCAUUCUUUAUACCAAAACCAUCAAACACAUUCGCGAUGUAGUCUUUCUAGGAUACGUACAAUUUCUUAAUUAUGCGAUCUCGCUGAAUCUCCAUGCCAGUAAUCUUCUUAGCAGUCCCUAAAUCUUUCAUAUCAAUCUUGGUGUUCAAUUAUUAUUUUAGUUCACCAAAAUCUAAACUAUCUAUUACUAUAAUCAACAUAUCAUCAACACAAAGCAAAAAAUAGAUAAAUGAGUCAUCCCGCAAUUUUCUAAACUACACACAACUAUCAUAUUGACUCUUGGUAUAUUCACUAACAACCAUAAAUGAAUGAAAUCGUUUAUAACACAACCUAGGAGAUUGCUUUAAACCAUAUAAGGACUUUUUCAACAAGAAACCGUGGUGAAAACACAUAAUUGAAGUUAAUUCCCUCGACUUGAUUGAAUCCCUUAUCUACUAGUUGAGCCUUGUACCUAGAUUCUUUAACUCCCUGGAUGCCUUCCUUUUCCUUAAAUAUCCAUUUUAAACCCACAAUUUUUCUUACCUUUAGGUGGUUUCACAAGCUCCGAAGUCUGAUUUUUCCGAAGAGAUUACAUCUCCUCGUAUAUAGCAAACAACCACUUUUCUGAAUCAUUCGAUCGAGGAAACAACAUCUUUAUAAGUUCGAAGGUCACUAUACUCAACUGCCUCGACAGCUGACAAGGCAUAAGCAACAUAAUCUGAAUACAUAUAUCUCUGUGGUGGUCGCACUGUCCUCUUUGCCCAGUCUCUAUUGAGACUAUAUUGAUUGUCCACAUGUUAGUAGCACACCAAAAUCUAUAACCCUUCACACCAUAACUAUAACCAAGAAAGAUGCAUUUCUUGGCUUUAGGUUCGAGUUUUCCCUCAUUCACCACUACAAGAAAAAAGCUUAAGCUCGACGGAUUAUUUCGUCGGAAUUACUCCUAUUCAGUCGAUAUUACAUUAUUCCCGACGGAACUAUCCGUCAGAUAUUCGGUCGUAAAUAUUCGCGUCGAAAAUAAGAUCCGUCAAAAGUUCUGUCGGAAAUUACAUAUCUUCGACGCACGUAUCUCCGACGGAUGUACGUCGAACAUUACCUAUCUUCGACCGAAUAUAUAGGACGAAAUAUUUCGUCGAGUAUAAGAGUCCCUACGUUCGACGGAUACAUUCCCUUGGAAUUAACUUAUGUUCGACUGAAAAAUAGAAUAACCCAUUAUUCAUUAAAAUUGGUUAAUUAUUACAUUCGACAGAAUUUGCGUCGGAGAUAGAGUGUUUACGACGGAUAAGUUGCGUCGAAGAUAACGUAUGUUCGACUGAAAUUAGGAUAUUUUGGCAUUUAUUAAAAAUUACUUAUUUGUUACUUCCGAGGGAAAUUUCGUCGCAACUACCUUAUUCCGUCGGAAUUAACUAUCCUUUUUUUUAAAUACAGAUUUUAAAAAUUCAGUUUCCAGGUGUUUAAACCUAUUAAUGUACCUGUAACCUGUCACAACCCAAUACACAGUAAUAUAAACCUGUAUCUCACAACCCAAUAUGUAACGUAGCACUAAAACUUAAUCUUCAACUCAUUAUCAUUCACAUUCACAUUCAAAUAUCCACCAAAAUCUAUUAUAAGCUAACCAAUUACAAAUAUUCAGUGCGUAUGUUCCAUAAAUGUUAAACAAUUUAAUUUACAAUAGUUGUACAGACGCAAUUAGACAAUACAAUAUAUACAAAAGGGUCUAAAAUAACAUGAAUAUAUACAAAUGAACUAUAAACUAGUAAAAGUAUGAUCAUCAUCGGGCGGAGGUGAACGACGCUGCUUUGGUGUAUGGAUGUCAGACUCGUGCUCUUGCUCAUCAUCGCCAGCCUGGUCUCCAUCACCACCCUGUUGAUAGAAUCAAAAAUAUAAAUCAUUAGUCCAUAUAUAUAUAUAUAUAUAUGUGUGUGUGUGUGUGUGAGAAUUAACAAACUAUCCUUAAUUGAAAAACAUAAACAAUAAGAAUACCGGCGUAGGUGGGGGCGGACGAAAAGCCUCCUCCAAGAGGGUAAUCACCAUCUGGAGCAUCUCGAUGCUCCAAGCGUCGAACUGCUCAUGUGGUAAUCCCGUACUCUCUGCAAAGGUCCCUGCUAUAAUAUCCUGAGCAAUCUGGUGAAGACGAGAAUUGGAAGGCAACUGCUGACGCCGAAAGACUGGAUCGGUAUGGAACCUAUCCGACACGGCCCCUAUCAGCCGCCGGAAGAUAUCGUCAUCCAAGUCAGCGCCCGUAUGAGAUGGUCCGACAUGUGCUCUCGGACGCUGGCGCUAGCUGGAGCCUAUAAAGAGAUACAAAUUCAAUUACUAAUAAUAAUUUAUAUAAUAUGAUAAAUUCGGAUAAUUUCGUGAAACAUUAAAAAAUAUUACCUCCAGGAAGUGUAUAUGCGGGUAUCCUUGGCAGACCCAACACUCGAUAUCUGCCGGUACUGCUAGUAGGGGGAUCCUGAGAUGUGACCCAUAGUCUCAGCUCCUCAUCCCGAUCUAAUACAAUAUCGGGAAGAGGGGUGGCGGAAUCUAACGGCUCAGAACCCCUCCUAAUAGUCUCUAGCUCAGCUAUACGCUCGUCCCGAAGCUUCUGAAAUCGGUCCUGUAAUGUAUUCCGUAUACGUAUGUUAAUUAUAUCAUUUUAUUUACGAUUGAAUAUUAUUAAAAGCUAAAUAGUAAGAUGAGUUUUACCCGUAUAGCUAAAGCUGCCUGAGACAAAGCACGCUCGUCCUUAGGCGUGUGGGCUCGAUCCCAAAACUCUAGCAUGGUAGGAUCUCGGCCCAAGGUCCUCCCCAAUGCCUAAUACAAACAUUCAUAAAACAGGUCUUAAGUAUUUGUGUGAGAACUUGACACAUAAAUAACUAAAUACAACGCACUUACCGUCUUCGCCUCCUCGAACGACUGAGAACCAGUGGUGUGUACUAUCCGGAGCUGACCACGGUUCUUCUUCGCCUGCUCGGACUUUUUCUUGAAGUCAUCAGCCUCCCAUUGCGCACACAUAGCCUCCCAGGCUAAAUCGGAGACUAUGCGGGGCUGAUGAUCUCUGAUGGUGGUCCCGGGCUGGUCCACAACUGCUCAGGUUGCCUUCUGUCGCAUCUCAUACAGCCAUCUAGAGUAAUUUGCAGCGACGUGAUGCUCAAUCGCAGCAUCGCUAGCUGACUGAGAGAUGCUCGGGUCAAAUCGAUAAUAAACCUAUAACAAAAGAUUAUUUAAAAUUAAGAACAUUUGAUGAACUAACUAAUACAACUAUGUGGUGAUAAUAUGCUUUACUUCCCGGAUACAAUGCGACCCCAGAUUAAAAUAGCAACUUGUAAAAGGCAGCAGCUGUAUCAUUUGGCACUUGCUUCGCACUGCUUGAAGAAGGUUCAUAUUCAUCCCAGUCAAUAGUAGUAGGGCCAUAAGCAUCGACCAACAUCUCAACUGGAUCAGAGUGUUCGACGUAUGAAGCCUGUGGAAUUGGUUGUUCCACAAUAUUUUCAAUCACUUCUGAUUCCCCGUGAUGAGUCCAUACGAAGUACCCACCCACAAAUCCAUGAGAAAAUAAGUCGAAUUUAAUCUCAUCAAAUUUCUUCCAAAUCAGAUUUUUACACUUGACAUACGGGCAUCGCAUCUUCCCAUUCGGAUCAUCCAUAUGUUCUAGUGCUUUGUUCAUGAAAUCUAAAACCCCAACACGAUAAGCUGAGAUUAAUCCCCUCCCAUCACUGGGUAUCCUAUGGUACAUCCAACUCCGAUCAGCUGGCAUUUUAACUACACAGAAAUACGCAUUAAGUUAAUUUGGAUAUUCAUGCAUGAAUUAGUAUUACCUAGUAUCUCUACAGGACAGGGGUAAGGCUUCUAUCCCGUUAUUGGAUGCGUCUCGUCACUAGUGCAAACACGUUAAGUACGUUUCAUGAGUUUCAAAAAAAAUUCGACAGCACCUCCCCAUGGUCUCCAAGCACACGAAAUAGACUACGAUAACUUAAUCUAAGUAUGCACUCGGAAAACAUAUAGAGAUAACAGUCGAUUAAUCCUCAAAAUAACAAAAAAUGUACCGUUUCAUAUUUGCACCGGCCUAAGUGAGAGACAUAGCAUCCAAUAACAGUCCCAAACUGGGGACUGUUCGACAUUCACCCCUACUGAGUGUAUGUCAAACGGGUUUCUAAGUUUCAAAGUAUAGUACAUAUAUAAUUGAAAAUUCUAUUUAGUUUAUGAGAAUUGUUAUGUGGAAUCUCUACUUGAGUCGGCAAUCGGGAAAAAAAAAAGGGUCGUAGUUCCUGUUGUGUCCUAUACUCGAAUAAUAAAGGUAAUUGAAUUACUGCAGACAUUCCUCACUGUUCCAUCAUAACAGAUGGCAACAUCCGGAAGGAGUUCCAGUAAAUUGUUGAACAAAGUUCUAGGUUAAGCAACUCUCUAGAUGAACGAACGAUCACUUCUCUGCUAGGAAUGAAUCAUCUCCCCAUAUGGGUCCAAUCCAUGAUAUAGACAACUUAUCACCACUCCGAAUUCUUCAAAUGGAUAGUUCUCAUACAAGAAGUGAGACGUUCUGUUAGAACUACCCAUUUGAGGAAUUCAGAGUGGUGAGAAGCUGUUUAUAUCAUGGAUUGGACUCAUAUGGGGAGAUAAUUCAUUCCUAGCAGAGAAGUGAUCGUUCGCUCAUCUAGAGGGUUGUUUAACCUAGAACUUUGUUCAACAACUUACUGACACUCCUUCCGGAUGUUGCCAUCUGUUAUGAUGGAACAGUGAGGAAUGUAUGCAGUAAUUCAAUUACCUUUAUUAUUCGAGUAUAGGACACAAACAGGAACUACGACCCUUUUUUUUUAAUUGUUGCCGAGGAACUGGUUGGAGUACUAUUAGCUGCAACUGCUAUGUUGAAACCUGCAUACAAGAAAGAGUACAUAUAUGUAGGGAGUGUUAUUGCAUUUAUAUAUUGAAAAUUGUGGCAAACUAAGCAAAUGCUACUUAGUUUAUUUUGCCAAUGAUAAUAAACUAAGUAAGUGGUACUUAGUUUAUGAAAAUUGUUAUUUGGAAUCUAUAGAGAAUAUAUACUGUUCGACAUUCACUCCUACUUGGUUUAUUUUGUCAAUGUGAACUAAGUAAGUGGUACUUAGUUUAUGAGAAUUUUAUUCAAUUAUUUUUAUUUUAUUUUAUGUUUUAUUGGAUUGUAUUUUAUUUGUAUUAUAUUAUAUAUUUUAAAAUAUUUUUUAUUAAAUUUAAUUUAUUUAUUAAAUUAAAUUUUAUUUAUUUUUUUCAUUAUAUUUUAUUAAAUUUAAAUUAUUAUAAUUUAUUAUUAUUAUUUUGUAUUUUAUUUUAUUUUAUCUUAUUAUUACUCAUAUUAUAUUAUAUUAUUUUAUUUAAUGUAUUUUAUUUAUUUAUUAGAUAUAAUUUAAGUUAUUUCAUUUAGGAACAAUUAUUUUAUUUUAAUUUAGUUAUUUUAUUUCAUUUCAUUUCAUUUUAUCUUAAAUUAUCUUAUGUUAUUUAAUUUUAUUAUUUUAUAUUAUAUUAUGUUAUAUUAUUUUAUUUAUGUUUAUAUUAUUUUAUUUUAUUUAGUAGUACAAAACUAAGUAAAUAUUACUAUAAACUAGGUUAUUUUAGUAUUAGAAAAUUAAUUAAGUAACAUAUUUAAAUAGUUACAUGGGCCCACAAAAUUUGCAAUUGAAGACUUCUGACAGAAAUUCAGUCAGAAAUUCCAUCGGAAAUAUCAUGUGUAAUUGCAGAAAAACAAAUUGAAACAUUUACCAGAUGCUAUACACUAAAUAGAAGCUGCAACAUAAGCUGUAAUCCCAAUUUGCACAGUAGUUUGCAUAACAAUUAGGCAUAACACAAUUUCGGCAACCCAAUUUUCAUAACAGUUAGGCAAUUAACACAAAUAAUAACCCUUAUAAUUUCAGCAGAACACAAAUAGAUAUAACCCAUUUUGGCAGAACACAAAUAACCCAUUUCGGCAGAACACUUAAGUCCCAAUUUCAGCAAUGAAUUCAAAAUAUAUAUAGUAGCAGUAAUUAUCAUCAAUAGAUAUAUAUAUAUAUAUAUAUAGUACCAAUUUCAGUGUAAUAUGCACAAUAUAGGGCAGGAAAUUAUACCUAAUUAUACAAAUAAACAAUUACUAACCUUAGGCCUUAGCUAGUUUGAAAAUCGGUUAAAGGAGGAGAAGGAGAAAGUAGAGUCCAACCCGGCCAGAACGCGUCGUCGACGUCGACUGCGUAAGGGAGGGUCGCCGGCAGUGGCGCUGUGUAGAAGGGUGGCCGGCAGUGGGGCUGAGUGCAGAGAGUGGUGAAGAGAGAGAGAAAGAGAGAGACGAACAUACGGUGGCAGGGGAAAAGGGGUGGUGCGCGGGGGACCGACGGUGACUGGAUGGGUGGGGUGGGGAGGAUGAGAGAGGGAAGGAGAGUACUAGGGGGACCGAUGUGGGGCGGGAAGGAUGAGAGAGGGAAGGAGAUCGACUGAGACUGAGAGAAUGAGAGAGGGUGGGGCGGUGAAGAUGAGAUUGAGGAGGAGUGAGAGAGAGAAAUAAAACAAACGUCUGAAAUGAAAAGGCAGAAGGUGAAAGGUUUUUAUUUUUAUCUCCGACGGAAUGUCCGUCGGACAUAUGUCUCUCGGAAAUAGUUUAAGUUCGACGAAAAGUCUCUCGAAAUUAAUGUUUUUUCGUCGAAAUUACUUUUCGCGGUGGCGCCAAACUUGGCUCCAACUGGGGAGGACUAAGUUCGACUGAAUUCCGUCCUAAUUAAUGUAUUUUCGAGGGACUUAUAUCCGACACAUUAUUCCCUCGGACAUAAUCCUAUUUUGACCGAAUUUAAUCCGUCGAUGAUACGUUAGUCGGAAAUAGGAGGCUUUCUUGUAGUGCACGUGUGUAUAUGCAGGACAACUAAUUACCCUAAGAGAUGAAUAAUCUACAGGAUUACCUGACCAAACCUUUUCAAGAGUCUUACAUUCUAUAGCUGUGCAAGGAGAACGAUUCACUAAGAAAGAAGUUGUGUUCACUGCUUUUGCCCAGAAUUCGUUGCCUAAACCUGCAUUUAAGAACAUACAUCUGGCCUUCUCUAUCAAGGUUCUGUUAUCCAUUCUGCAACUCCAUUCAGUUGCGGUGUCUUCACUACUGUACGAUGUCUAACAAUUCCUUCAUUCUUGCAGAACUCAUUGAACUCAGUCUCACAAAACUCAAGGCCAUUAUCUUCUCUUAACCCCUUAAUCUACUUUCUGGUCUACUUCUCAACCAAGAUCUUCCACUAUUUGAAAGUCACAAAAACAUCUUUCUUAUGUAUCAAAAAGUAGACCCAAUCCUUUUUAGAAUAAUCAUCAAUGAAGGUUAACAGAUAAUGUGCACCGCUACCUUUGAAAGGAAUCUGAGGAGGGCCCUAAAGGUCUAAAUGAAUAUAAUCCAAAGUUCCCUUUGUUCUAUGAACCGCAGUCUUGAAACUAACUCGUUUCUACUUCCGCCAGACACAAUACUCACGUAAGUUAAACUUUCCUAUUUUUUGUCCAGACAAAAGACCUCUUCUACUCAAACCAUCCAUGCGUUUUUCACUCAUAUGGCCUAACCUCAUAUGCCAUAACCUGGUGAUGUCAUCUGCAGUGACUAAAGAACAAAUUGUAUCUGAAUCUGUAGUUAUAAAACCAUGCAACUAAUAUAAAGUACUAAUCUUGAUUCCUUUCAUUAACACAAAAGAUCCUCUACUAAUCUUUAUAUCUCCACCUUCAGCUGUGUACUUACACCUGUUUUCAUAUAGUGUACCCAAAGAUAUGAGAUUCUUCUUCAAACAUGGAACAUGUCUAACAUCUGACAAUGUCCUGAUUAUGCCUUCACGCAUCUUAAUUUUAAUUGUACCAAUACCAAUUGCUUUACAUUUAGAAUUUUGUCCUAUCAAAACAAUUCCACCAUCACACGACUCAUAUGUGGAUAACCAAUCACAAGUAGGACAUAUAUGAUAAGAACACCCAGAAUACAAAAUUCAAUCACUACUAAGUAUUUCUCUGUCAUCGGCUAGUAACAGAAGAUCAUUAUUAUCCUCAGCAACACUAACCUGAGCAGGCUUUCUUGCCCCCUUAUUAUGCUAAUUAUGCACAUUCUGUCCACUAUUAAUCUGACCAUGAUUGUCUCCUCUUUGUUCUUUAUUUUUUAAACUUUUUAUAUGCCCAUUUGCAUGACAGUAGUUAAUUACAACGAAAAUUCUUAUUCAAAGAUUUCGAUCUGUGUGUACGACAUCGGGUACUAAUAGAAGAUCAUUACUAUCCUCAGCAACACUAGCCUGAGCAUGCUUUCUUGCCCCCUGAUUCUAUUGAUUAUGCACAUUCUGUCCACUAUUAAUCUGACCAUGAUUGUCUCCUAUUUAUUCUUUAUUUUUUAACUUCGGACAAUUAUGCUUUAUAUGCCCCUUUGCAUGACAGUAGUUACAAUGAAAAUUCUUAUUCUAAGAUUUUGAUCUGUGUGUACAACCAUUUUUUGAAAUUCUCUCAAUUGAUCUCCCUCUGACAAAUAAUCCAACACCUUGAUCAUCACUUUUUUCAAAAGUCAUCUCAACAUCCUCAAUUGAGAUAGUGUCUCUAUCAUAGAUUAUAAUGUCUCUAAAGUGCUUAUAUGAAAAAGGAAAUGAGACUAACAACAAUAUGACUUGAUCUUCAUCAUUAAUCUUAACAUUAAUAUUCUGUAACUCAUUUACAAUUGAAUUAAACUCAGUGAUAUGAGAUUUGAUAUUAGUACCUUCUAACAUAUGCAAUGUGUAAAGACGUUGGUUAAGUUUCAAUCUAUUAGUGAGUGACUUCGUCAAAUAGAGAAUCUAAUUUCUUCCACAAAUCAGCAACUGUAGUUUCCACUAACACCUCCUGCAACACAAUAUUCUAGAGGCACCAUUGAAUUGCCAAACAUGCUUUUUCAUCCAUAGUUUCUCAUUCUAACUUAGGCAUCUUACUAGCUUUUUUCGUCUCCCAAUCCGUAUCAGAGAUAUCUAUAGGCUUCAGUAUUGGCUUCCCUACAAUAGUUGUCUUCAAGCCUUGCUGAGUAAGAAUAGCAUUCAUCCAAACCUACCAAAGACUGAAACUAAUACUCACAUCGAAUUUGUCAAUAUCAAAUUUCAUUGAUGAAGUCGAACUCAACGCCAUAGUACAGAUCGAUAAUAACCACGCUUUUAUACCAUUUUGUUAUGACAAAUUUUGAUAAAUACAAUAAAUCAACGCAGAAAGAUAAAGACAAUAACACAAGAUUUUACGUGAAAACCCAAAUCUAGAAAAAAUUACGGAGAAGACAGAAGAAAUCCAAUAAUAAAUAUCUGAAAAAUAUAAGAUAAAGAGAAAACUACGAGAAUUCUUAGAAUACUCCUAAAUGUCUCUUCUCCAAAAACUUAGCACCUAUAUUUAUAAACCAUAAGAAAAUUUCAUAACUAAAUAACAUAAGAAAUACUAAAUUUAGUAUAACUAGGAAAAUUAACUUUCUUAAAGCAAAACAAAUUUAAACCAAUACCUAAAUUCAAAUUCAAUAAAAAUUCAUGUUAUACCCAACAGUAACAUAAAACAACAUAAUAUUUUGAAUUUUAUUAUAAUAAAUUUAUAAUAUGUCAUCACUUUUGGGAUGGGUAAAAUACAAAGUCGACCACUGAACUUUAGAGGUUUUUUUGGUAUUGAGCCCUUUUCUUUUGGUCAACGCAAAUUGAGUCACUUUCUAUUAAAAAAAUUUGAUUUCGAGACCCAGGCACCACAUGUGCGUUGACCUGCGUACGUGGCGCCUACGUGGGCAUUUUUUAUUUUAUUUUACACGUGUACGACGUGACGAAUAUUGAACUUUAUCCCAAAAAAUAUGUUGCUGCAAAUAUUUUAACUCAGUAAUAAUAGUAAUAAUAAUAGUAAUAGUAAUAAUAGUAAUAAUAAUACUAAUAGUAAUAAUAAUAAUAAUAACAUUAAUAAUAAUAGUAAUAAUAAGCCCGCAUAAUUACCUUCCUUAUUAUGAAACACCUUUUCUAUAAUGUCUGUCUGAUGUAAGAUGGAUGGUUCCACCAUUAUAAAAUUCCUUGGUUUCUAAGGCUUCAAUUUUACAAUGUUAAGUCAUGUCUGAGUUGCAAUUUAUUUGGAAUUUUAAUUGUGUUUAACUUAACAUGUUUAUUAUUAUUAUUAUUAUUAUUGUUGUUGUUGUUGUUGUUGUUGUUAUUAUUAUUAAUAUUAUUAUUACUAUUACUACUGUUAUUGUUAUUAUUAUUAUUAUUAUUAUUAUUAUUAUUAUUAUUAUUAUUAUUAUUAUUAUUAUUAUUAUUAUUAUUAUUAUUAUUAUUAUUGUUAUUGUUGUUGUUGUUGUUGUUGUUGUUAUUAUUAUUAUUAUUAUUAUUAUUAUUAUUAUUAUUAUUAUUAUUAUUAUUAUUAUUAUUAUUAUUAUUAUUGUCACACAAUUAAUUAUGUACAUUUAUGUAUGUACAUAACAGAUCUAAAGAAAGAAGAUUUAUUUUAAUUUGGGAGAAAUGAUUUGUUUAGUUAUAAAUAUUAAUAUUUGCAAAAUAAUAACAAUUAGGCAUGUGUACUCGGGUGAUCAUUGGAUCAAAGUUUCAAGUUGGAGAUCUUGAGUUUGAAUCUGUGCAGACUUUGCAUUUUACCCCUUUUGGGAUAGGUAUGCUUCUUUGAAACAAGAAAUCGACGCUGAUUUAAUAUGCGUGGCAGCCAUGGUGGCGUGGAGCAUCUGGAAUGGAAGAAAUGAGGUUGUUCAUAGAAGUAAGGUUGUCCAUCCUGCUAUAGGUGUGUUGGAGUGUGAUUAUUUGGGUAGUGAGAGUCCUUAUUAAAGUAAGAUUGUAUUUCUUUAUUUGGUGGGAUAAGAAGGUUUAAUUUGGGAAGGAAUCUAUUAGCCAUUAAUUACCGUUAUAAGGUGAUUCUGAAAAGGACUCCUACUCCUAUCUAUAAAUACAGCAAUAAGCAAGGGAUUGAAGGAGGAAGGGCACAAGAGAUACAACACAAAUACACAAUUUGUACUCCCAAUAUUAUUAUAGUGGAUUACUCUCUCUCUCCGUGGUUUUUCCCUAAUUGGGUUUCCACGUAAAUUCUUGUGUUCAUACUAUAUAUUUCUUUAUUUAUGUUUAUGCGAGUGUAUUUCGUGAGUUUGAUUUCACAACAAUUACUCCAUCAACCGUUGGCGCUAUUUUGACCUGUUGUUUUGGUGAUUUGAUUAGGCGUACAAAAUCAGGAAUUAACAAGGUGUGAAUAAAAUUUAUGACUUUCUCUUUUUCUUCUUCUUCUUUUUAUUUAUUUAUUUUAUUUAAAGCGCCUAAUGUGUCUGGAGUCUGGACCAAUAAGGUUUGUUCAUUGGCGUUGGACCAAAACUCCCAUUGAGAAUUGUGAUGCCUCGUUUCGAGGUAAUUGCUUUGUAGGUAUUGGGUUUGUGGUUCGAAAUAAUAUGAGAAAAGUUAUGGGAGCUAGUUUUGAUAGAGUUAACGGAACAUAAAAUAAUAUUUUCACAAUAAAAUUAUCACUAUAAAUUUUAUAACGACAAUUUUUUAUUGUCAUUAUACAUAUGUAGAGAUUAUCAGUUUUUCUUAAUGGUAAUAUGGGGUAGAUUGUGCAGACAAUGGCAGUUAGGAAUGCCUCAAUAAUAAAAGAGUUAUUAAGUGAUUAUCUUCAGCUCAGUCUAAUAGUUCUUAUCUAAAUGAUAUUAUUAGAAUAUAGCAGUGUUCAGUGUUCACCGCAAGGGAAAUAGAAUUGUUCAUAGUUUAGCAGAGCUUGCGCAAUCGAUGGAGAUUAAUAUCCCAACUUAUUGGACAGAAAUUUUGGUUGACUGUUUCUUCAACAAAAAAAAAAACUCUUAGAAUAAACAUGUCAGGCGCUGGUGUCUGUGUUUAGCAACGUUGGCGCAAGGAAAAUGGAGUUGUUCAUAGUUUAGCGCAGUUUGCGCAGUCGAUGAAUAUUAAUAAUAUUUUUAGUCGGUUGACUGUUUCUUCAACCAAAAAAAAAACAAUUAGAAUAAACAUGUCAGGCGCUGGCGUCUGUGCUUUGAGUUCAAUUAAAUAAUAAAAUAUGUUUAAUUGAAAAAUAAUCAAUUCCCAUGCAACGUUCCGUCGCCUGUGUGAUUCUCUGUAUUCCCUACAUGGCGUUUUCCAUAGCCCAUAUGUAUUUCAAUAUUGCACGUUUAUACAUUCAGUCUGGCUGGCUGUGUGCUUAUAUUGUUUUAAAAUCUUGUUGAAUAAAUGCAUAUUACUCACAAUUGAAAAUUGUUACAAAUUCUUAUUUAUACCUCACGUAUCAUUGAAUUGGUGGCAGUAUAUAUUUAUUAAUAAGUACCGUCUCUAAAUUGUUUGUCAUUAAAAAUUAUAUUGGUAUUGUUGAAUGUUGAACUAGCCUAGUCCAAGAUAUUUUAAUUGUAAAAUAAAUUAAAAAGAAUGAAAAGGAUAAGUUUUUCGUAACUUUAUAUUAAUUUAUGUAAACAACCCAAGCUAUUUUCCACCGUCUAUUAUACUUGCCAUAAGGCUAUAUUUAUUUGUAAAAAAUAUGUUUGAAAUUAUAUUAUUUAUCUUAAUUUAAUACUAUUUUAAAUUAUUUUAUCUCAUGAUGGAGAAUGUGUGAUUAAUACUCCUUUAAAUAGUCAUAUGUAUUAUUUAAUUUUUUGUCAUUUCUAAGGCUAUUUAUGAAAAAUUAUAUAAUCUGGUGAUGAAUGUGUGAUUAAUAGUAUACUUCACUUUAAACUGCCAAAGACUUUAUGGAACUAAUAGUCUCACUUUAAGGGACUAAUAGUACCUUAUCAAAUGAUUAAAUAGAAUAGUUCGAAAUAGUGUUAAAUUAAGAUAAAUAGUUCACUCUCACGUAUUCGGUUACCAAGAAAUUAAUUUCAUGGUAAGUUGGUCAAUUGACCAAUACAGUGAUAACACACAGAGAGAAAGAUUUCAUGGUAAGUUAAUCAAUUGACCAAAACUAAUUUCAUACUAACCACUUAACCAAAAUUAAUUUUAUACUAAACCAAUUUCUAAAUAUUCUUUUUGCAAACAAACAUCACCUAAAAGUUUUUAGAGCUCUAUGACUAUUGACUAAGCUGAUGGAGGUCAUUUUCAAACGUGAAAUAAUUUUUCUUAACGUAAAUCAACAGUUGAUAUUGUUAAAAUAAUAAUAAAAUAAAUUUAUAUUUAGCCGCACUUUAUGUAAUUAUUGUUCUAAUGAAAUUUUAAACUUUUUAGCAAUACUUAAUUACUUUGACACCAUCAAUAGCCUACUCAUUACGGACAGAUAAUAAUAUUUGUUACUGGGGGUAUUACUAAAAGUAAUAUUUAUUUGCUAACCAUAUGUCAAAAGAAAUUAAAUAAGUAAUACUAUAAAUCGUUUAAUGUAAUUUUGUAAGUGUAAAAUAUAUUGUUUUCAUAGAAAAUUUUGAAAGCGGUUAAGUUCAAAUGCCUCUUUUUUAAUAGUUUAUAGUUUCCCAAAAACAUAAAAUGUAAAUAAAGAAAUGACUGCCGUAAAUGAAAGAAUCCUUAAGUUUAAAAAAUUGAUUACUCUCACCGUCCUCAAAAAUUGGCUUAGUUUAAUUUUUUUGAUCAAUUUUAGAAUUAAGAGUUAAACAUAGUUAUAUUUAUUUUUAAAGUUAUGAAAAUUGGAGGUGAUAGUAAAUUCGAUAUAGUUUUUUUAUGUUUAUAGUUUCUCCAUCUAUAUUUACAAGAAAAUAAUAUAAAUUUUGAUUACAAAGUUGGUCAAUUUGACAAAAAAGAAAAGGUAUUAAACCAAUUUUUACAUAACGGAGAGAGUAUUUUAUCUGUCUCAAAAUUAGAUAUAUAAUUUGACUUUUGAGGUUAAAUGACAUAUUAAAUUUCAAAAUCGGCAUAACUCAUAAAAAUUUGGAAUGAAAUAAAUUAUUUAAUUUAUAGUUUUUUUAUAUACUAUACAAUUAUAAUAAUUAUAUCAACUAAAAUUAAAUACAUUCAUAUAUUUGAAGUUUAAUAUGUCGUUAUUUGACCUCAAAAAUUAAAUUAUAUUUCUAAUUUUUGAGCAAAGGGACUAUUUUAUAACUGAUAAUCGAAAGUGAUUAAAUUUUAUUUAAUUAUUUUUAACUUAUGCACAAUCAUUGAUAUAUUUUUUUAUCUUUUUAUGUAGACCUCCUCUUCUCGUAAAAAACAAAAAUAAAACAAUAAAAAAAAUACUCUCGUUGUUCAAAUGAUCUAUGAAGUAUAGAAAAAAUUGUCCCUAAAAUAUGUCUAAAUGACAAUAUUUAAAUUCAAAAAUAUUAAUUAUAUAUAUGAAAAUUAUUUUACUUUUAACAAUACUUAAAUAAAAUUCAUUACUUUUAGAAACAAUAAGAAUUAAUUGCGUUAUACCUUGAUAUAAUUCUUGAUGAAGAGUUAGCUAUUUUAUUACGUUACAAUUAACUUAAUCUUUAUUGUGAAUUUAAUAUUAUUAUUUUAACUAUUUUCUUUAAGGUGGAACCAGUGUAUUUUCUUUCUUUAUAUUAAGUUGAAAAAUGGUGUUCGUACUAUCGUAAGUUCUAAUAAAAAAAAGUUAUUUUCUAGUUGAACAGAUCUCUUUAUAUUAAGUUGAAAAAUGGUGUCCUGAAGUUAAUCUUUUCAAAAUAUAAACAAUAUCUUCCUUUCUUAAGUCUCUGUCAGGAAUCCUUACUGAAUUUAUUUUAUGGUAUUUAUUUGACUUGUUCAACAAUACUUCUGAAUCAGGGACGGAGCCAGUAUUUGUUCUUUGGGGGGACCAAAAAAAAUUUUAACAUCAUAAAAUAUAUUCAUCACUAAAAAAUAAAAUUUCACUAUUAUAAAACAUAUUUUUACUAAAACAAAAAUAAUAUAGUAAUAGAAUUUGCUUUGACAAAGAUAAUAAAACAUAGUAAAAAAAAAAAAUCUUUUCAAACAUAUCAAAACUCGGGAGCCGUAGUCCUCAAUGUUACAACAAAAUUUUAGUAUUAAAUAGAUAAAAAAAUUGAAGUUGUCAUUUAUGUUUUUUUUAGGAAAACAAGCAUUCUAUGGCACUAAAUUUUGAUAAUUAGACAAAUUUUGUGUAUUUUAUUCAGACAAAACUUUUGUUAGUUAUAUAUUUAACUAGUAGUGUUAGAUAAUUAAACACUUUUUGUCUAGUUAUACUAUAAGAGUUUUUCAAUGAAUUGAGAUUGCUCAAGUUAUCAUUGGACGUAUUAAGUAUUUUUAUAUAUAAGAAUUGAUAUGUCAGUACUUGAUGAAUAUUUAAUUACGCAAUACGAUUAAUUAAAAUUUAUCUAAAAAAUUAGACCAAAAUUAUCUAAUAACUUGUCAUUUUCCUUCGUUCAUCCCGAAUAUAUAUAACAUUAUAAUACAUUAACUAAACGUGGAAAAUGGUGUUAAUCCAGUCAAAUUAACUCCAAAGUAAAACCAGGAGCCAAGGCAGACUAUUCAGGAGCCAAGGCAGACUAUUCAAAGUGGGCAAGAAAAAAAGAAAAAAUUGUUAGUUUUCAAAUGAAUUUAUUUUCAAAAUGGAGCUCAAUUUAUAUAUAAAGAAUUCAAGAAAAUACUAUUGGGCUAGUGGUUCAAGACUUUAUUUAGAUAAGUUUGAUUCAAUUUGGACUUAAAAUUUGAAUUUUUUCCAUACCAAGUAUAUAAUAUUUCAAUUAUUUUAGCGGUCAAUUAUUGCUUAUAUUUGUAUAUAAAAAAUUACAUUCUCUCUCCAACUUGUUAUAUCUAAUAUCAUUUUCUUUCCUCAAUGACAAUUGAUAUAUUUUUUAAUGAAAUUGUUUUUAUCGAUCUCUCUUCCCUCUUUCUUGUGUUCUAUUUUAUAUUUUAACAUUUCACUUAUGUAAUUAAUAUUUACUAGUUGAUAGUCCGUGCAAUGUACGACUAAUUUGAAUAAUAAAUUUAAUAAUUUAUCCGACAAUCAUGUCAAAAAAAAACUCAAAGUACACAAUUCAUGUAAAAAAAAGAAUUCAAAGUACACAAUUCCUGUAAAUUUGUUGAAUUACCGUAACAUAAAAUUAAGUCAUAUUACCUUAAUAAUUACAGCAAAAAGAUAAAGAUAAUGUAUAUAUCAGACUUCAAACUCAUCCUUGCUAAGGAGUAUCUCCCCAUAAAAAAGGGUUAUAAAUGUAUUUAAUUUGUCCAAAAGAAGUUCAAGACCUAAGAGAAUUACAACAAAAAAGAAUGGCUAAAUGUGUUUACAAAAUUCACAACGCAACACAUUUUACAUCUUGAAAUUUAAACACCACAUAAAAAUACAAUAUUAUAUCUUCCAAACAUUUAAGUUGUCUAUCUCUCUCUCAAUACUACGUACAAUAGAGAUUUGUUAAAUCAAACCCCACCAUUCCAACGCUGUAUUUUUGCGUAAGCUUUUGAAGAGGAGAAAUCCGUUAAAUAAGGCUUCAAUGGACCAAAUUAAAGGUAUCAUAGGCUGAAAUUUCUCAGAAAUGCUUCAAUUAUUAAUAAGAAAAGAUGAAAUAAUUAACAAACAUUCAUGAUUAGUACACCUUUACUUGAGUAUCUAGCUUUGACCACCAACUUUGCAAAUCCUAAGGGUCAAAUUCAUUAAAUAUAACUAUGUUAGAAAUACAUAUGAAUGAGGAAAUAAAAAAAUAGAGUAAGAAUACCUGAUCCAAAACCAUUAACAAGGCUUAGUCAAAAUAUUAAGAGUCAAAAAUAUAUCCUGCAAACUGAGACAAAUUAUUACACAUAAGAUAGUAUUCAUGUAUAUUAAAAUUCUAUUACAAUGCCCCACAAUGCCAUUAAUUUUUUCAAACCUCGACGACUAAAUUUUUUUUAAGUCAACCUUGGAAUAACACACUGUAGAUCGACAACCAUGCAAAAAUAAAAAAAAAUGAAAGAGAGAGAGAGAGAGAAGAAAAUAUAAUCAAUUAAGUACCCACAAAACUCGGUUGAUGUUUCUAUGUAGACCAAAGUUUUCUUACAGUAAUAUUAUCAAAAAGUGAUGACCAAACUAUUAGCAUAAGAAACACAAUUUAAAGGCUUCCCCUGUCAGGAACCACCAGAUGACACUAUCCUUGAUAGUAGCAAGAUGCCAACAGCAGCGUGGUGAAGUUCACGUACAAUAAAAGAGAAUUGAAUUAAAAUUCUAGGGCAACUGUUAAUUGAGAUUACCUGUUUCAAAGUUUGAAUUCUAUUGAGAAUCCCAACCAUUGAUUCGGUGAAUUCCUAUGAACUGCAUUUCAGACUUAGGUUUAGAAUUAGCCAUCACCCACGGGAAAAUUUUACAAAUAAUAUGGAAAACCCCAAAUUUCAAUCUAAUAAUUUUAAAAAUACCACAAUUUUUGAGUUAAUUGGCAUUACAUUUUCCAACUUCUGCAAAUAUUGCAUCACAAUUAACAGAUUUAAUACACAAAAUUGCCUAGAAUUAAAAAUUAAUGCAAACAAAUACACAGAAAGAACAUAAAAAUAAAAAAACCAUGGUGACAGAAAGUCGCUAAUGGCUAUAUUUGGGGAAGUUAACUCUAAUUUGAUUAAGGAACAUAAAGAAGAUAUCAGAUAACAUAGAGUAGUUUUGCCUCUCUCUAUCUUUGACUCAGUUUAUGCGGUUAUAUUUGUGAAGAUAUACAAUUUGAUAGUAUAUACGACAUUUUAAAGUACUUUUUGUUUAAUUAAAGCCAAGUACAUAUAGACAUAUAUAUCAAACAAAAUAGUUUUCUAAAUAACAUCUACAAAAAGUUGUAAUGGGAGUAAAAAAUUAAUAAACCAAUUUCAUGCUUACCCCGAUCCUAAUCACUCUAUCACCUUCAUUGAAGAAUUUCAUCAAACACUUCAUAGGCAGACGACUUCACAGGUAUAAAAAUCAAUCUCCGACAAUACUUGAAGUUGAUGACAUCCAAACAAUAACUCAGAUAACCUUUGAGUUUAAAAAAAAUAGAGGACUUAAGUUAAACAUCUAAUUUACAAAAUUAGGCAAGAAAUAGUUUAGAAUCGAGUCAAUAAAUUCUAUUAGAACAUCACAACCUAGCCUUUAUACUCGCACUUUAACAAAGCAAAUUUAAAAUUGAUAGAUAGAUUAUAGAUACCUUAAUGGCUUCCAAUAUCAGAGCAGUAACCUUUGUUGUCAGUUCCUCUCGGACGAUCGAAAAUUUUCGUUACAUUAAACCAAAAAUUAUCUAUUUUGGUAUCAGCGUCAAAUUGACGACCAUCAGUUGUGCUAAGAAUUUGGACCAAAAUUUCAACACUGACAUGCAGAAAUAGGACCAAAAUUGCUUCUCAAUAUUAAAAAUGAACCUCAUAAUAUAUUCUCAGUUUCAAAUUAUGGCACUUGGAGCACUAUCAGGUUCAAAUUUGGGCUUCUAAAAUUAAUUAAUAAUCUUGUUGUUUGCUUUCGAAGUUGGUGUUUCUGAAUUAUUUAAAUUACCAACAGAUGAAAUUCUCAAAUUUCAAAAAGAUAAUUACAUUUUUAAAUAAACUACAAUGCUAAUGGAAUCUAGAUUGCCUAUUAAUUCCAUACUCAGUCCGAUUCCAAGACCAAUCUGACCAAAGAAAAUUGACAAGGUUGAAGGUGCAUUACCAUCAGCAUUAGGAUUAAAAUGUGGUCCUGUAAUAAUGUAAUUGAACCAAAAAUCACAACAUAACACCAAACAACAAUAAAAUCUAAUAUAAUUAAUCACCAAUCAAAACACAGCUAAAACCAAAACUUCAACCAAUUAAAUCUCGAAAGUAAAAAACAUAAUCAAAUCCAACCUAUUGAGAUACACCCAUUUGUGGUAUCACCAAAUUCGUGCUACACAACAACCAAAAUAUAAUUAUAAAAAUUUCAGAACUAUAUGAUUUUAAGAAAUAUAACAACAAUCAACAACUUCACACCAAGUUUACUUACAAAAUGAAACCCAUUAGGUUAAGGAGCAAGUCCAGUAACCUUUGUGAUUGCAACUGUUAGUGAAGUUUUCCCAUGACCAACAUGUCCAAUGGUAUCAACAUUCACAUGAGGCUUUCUGGAUCAGAAAAGAAAAAGAAUAAAUAAAAAAAGGAUAUAUUAUAUAAGUGGUAAUGCCAUGGUCAUGCAGAGAACAUUAUAAAUGCAUACAUCAGAAAGACAGCCAUACAUAAAGUAAUACAUACAAAUCUUACACGAAAGUUGUGAAAAUUAUUAAAUAAAUAAAUUUUUGCCUCUCAAUAAUAAUAAAAGUUGUAAUGACAUUUAACAAUGUUAUAAUGUUGAAUCUAACAUAUCUAAUGCCAAUGAAUAAUUUCGACCCCCCUUCAUAAAUUUUCUGGAUGUUCCCUGCUCAUGGUCAAAAGUAGACAGAUUAGUACUUUUAUAUUUCAAUCAACACUUAUUCAUGAUAAAACAAAUCAUUUAUUCAAAAAUGGGUUAUUAAUGUUUCACAACAUUCAUACUGCCAACUAAAGUUGGGUUUCAUUAUCGAACAGAAACAAAAAUAAAAAUAGCCCAUUAAAUUUUUUAAUUUGAAGUUCAUACUCACACCAGAAAACAUUGAACCAAGUAUCCUAUAAUUUCUCAACAACCAAACAGUUGUAACUGAAUAUAAGUGUCCAUUCCAACUUAACAUUCCAAACACUAAUUAAUUAUAAAAUAAAAAAACACAAAAUCAAACACCCAGAAAACUGAAAAGAAAAUCGCAUAAAUAGUUAAAUUUGAUUGCAUGAAUAAACUCACUUAUGUUCUUGUGAAGGUGGCCAUGGACCGCCGGGAAAACCCUAUCCUUGCAUCCUUCAAUUUGAUAUGUAAUUCCAAUUUUCUGAAAAUUUAGAAAAAUAUUUAAGGGGACGGGAUUUUGGUGAUGAGAUUUGCCAUUAAAGAGGAGAAAUUGCCGAAUCUAAGAUUAACCACCAAUUACAACCCUUUUUUAGGGUUUCUCUAUUUCUCAAAAAUCUCAAAUUAUUGCACUUUUCUAACUUUUCCAUGUCGCGACUAAGUUUAUAGUUUCUUUAAAUCCCCUAGAAUUCUUACCAUCAAACUGACGCUUAAUAGAUUCAGCCAUGGCGGCUUCAUCGGUAGCAAUUGACGGCUUCAUUCGGCAAACUCAGAUGGAAAACUAGGGUAGUGGAAGGGGAAAAAACUGAAAGUGGAAAAAAAAAAGAAGAGGAGGAGGAGUUACUUUCCCUUGAUUUUUCCAGAGAUUGAGGGUUUUUAGAGGUGUGAAAAUAGGGGUUUUAUAAGAUGAGAGGAAGGGAAGAGAUAGGGUGAGAAGAGAGGUGUGAAGAGGCGAUGAUUUAUAUGGGUGAAGCGAUAGAGGGAAAGAAGAAAAGAAUUGCUCGAGAAGAAGAGAAAGAGUCGAUCGACUAUGAAGAAGAGGAGUCAGUCGACUGAAGGAUGGACUCGUGUGAAUUUUCUAAUUGAGCGAGUAGACUCUUAAAUAUUUAAGAGUUGACUCAGUAAAUUUUGCAAUUGAAGGGUGAGUUUUGGAUCGAUCUUACUGUCUUUAUAUAUAAGGUAUUGAUUUCGAAACAAUAAAAGGAGUAACAUAAUUAAUAAAACCCGUUAUUUUUUUUAUUAUUUUUUUAGAACGAGUAACAUUUGAAGAUCCUCCUCCUUUUGUGGCUGACUACCUAGUAUUUGACCUGGAAGAGAAAUCUAUCCCUAGAUGUGUUUUGAAAAACUCUCUACGUUUGGAUUGAAGUAAUAAAUGUGGGAAUAGAAUGACUCAUUCCUAUAAAAUAAAAAAAAAUUAUGUUUGGUUGCGACUGGAAUGGAUUGAACCAUUAUUUUUUUUUACUAUUUUCGACUGAAAUUUAACAUUCUUGUCCAAUAUUUCAUGUCCAAAGCCUUAUGAGUAAUUUUUUUAUUAUUAAGUCAUGAGGGUCUUGGGGGAGGGAGAGCAUGUAAUAUCCAAAUACAACAUUAGACUAUGUUUGUUUACAAAGAUUAUACUUGGGAUAUGACUAUUAAUCUCAAGAGUCUUGUUUGUUUUUUAAUUUAGCCUUGAGAUUAUUAGUCCAAAAAUUAUAAAAUGACUUAACAUGUG